This 48530-nucleotide long non-coding RNA is filed under the name Theobroma cacao (cacao). RNAcentral's name for it is "long non-coding RNA (TCAC_LNC004179)". Lineage: Eukaryota; Viridiplantae; Streptophyta; Magnoliopsida; Malvales; Malvaceae. The record is from RNAcentral.
AUCUCAUAAUCUUCCGGAAAAAGGGCACACAACAAGAAACAUUGCUUGAUAUUAUCUUGAUCCAAAUAAUCAUAACUAAGCUCAAGGCAUGUAUAAAUACCUCCACAAACAUGUUGAUUAUCCAAAUGCCUUGAGCUCUUGAGUCGUUUAUUUGCUGCUAUCCACGCAUCUAGACUUUCACCUUUUAGAGCCUUUGCCACAGUUACAAUUGCAAGAGGCAAACAGCCACAUUCAGGAGCAACCUCCUUCGCUACAUUCAAGGUGGGAGAGUCAUCUUUCAGACCAGCUUUGUCUUUGAAUAAAACCCAUGCUUCAUGUUCAGAUAAAAUGUUCAGCUUAAAUUCCUCUUCACAAUCCAUUUUACAACAAACUUGUUGAUCACGUGUAGUUAAAAGAAUUUUGCAACCCUCGUGUUCACCACCGAAUGGAAUUCCUAUAAUUUGCAAUUCAAGUUCUUUCCAAACAUCAUCGAGAAUUAUGAGAAUCUUCUUCUCACUUUUUAAUCUCCGCCAUAACUCUUCUGCUUUUCCUUUUUCUGUACUUGCUUUAAAGUUAAAAUGUAAGAUUUCGGCAAUUCUGUCUUGAAUUUUGUUGAAGUUCGGAGUUUGGGACACUGUAACAAUCACAACUUUAUCAAAGAGCUUUUGUUCCGUAGCUUGCUUCCCCACUACUUCCGCCAAAGUUGUUUUACCCACUCCUGGCAUUCCAUGCAAUCCAAUCAUGUUCACACCAUCACUUUUUAAAGCCUCCAUAAUCCCACUGAAAGCUAACAUUGAAGAUUCGGAACGCAUGAAAUCCUUGGGUACUAUGAACUCUAUUCCUUGAAGAGGAGGACGCUGGCCGACUCGUGAAAAGUUACAAGUCUCUAAAAGCUUAGAGAUAUCAAGUGUCUUCUUCUCUACUUCCUUACUUAAAGAGGAUCUCCAGCUCAUACCAGACAGCCAUUUGGAACGCUUGUUACUUUCUAUUUUAUCUGACAAAUUCUGCACAUCUUUCAGUUCUUGUCUUGCCUUCGUUAGCCAUUCCUCAACGUCAUGAUUAAUUACCUCAGUUUGCCUUUCGGCUUCAUUCACGUCAUUCUGUACCUUAUCGAUUGCAAGUAUAAGUUGUUCCCUCUUUGCAUUGAAAUCUUCAAUAAUUUCAUCAAAACCGAAAAUAGGUUUUCCCAAUUUCCCUGCCAAUUUUUUCAGAGCAUUUGUAGUGAUAUUGGCAGCGACAUUGGAAAACACAGAGGUUGCAAAUUCAGCAGGACUGGUUUCCUUAGUAUCCAUUCACUGAUUAUCUGAGGUUGAAGAACAGGUUUGUUUGAGCAAAAGUAGUAACAGAGAGACAAAAGAAAUUAUUAAAAAUUUCAUUUUGUAAUAUAUAAAAGUAAAAAAAAAAUCAAAAAAAGAAAGAAAAUUGCAAAAAUCAACUUCUACAAAGCUAUAUUGGAAGCUAUGUUCUUUAGUUAUUAAAUAUUAAUGCAUUACAAAAUUGACUAAUAAUGACAAAAUUUCAUAGUUGAAAAUUUGCAGUGGAUUUGGUUGACUAAUAACUACUACUAAUUAUUAAGAAACUGUUUCCCCUAAACCCAAGAGAUCAGCUCACAGAAAAAUAAAAUAAAAUGCAAAUAUCUGUCAAGCUAAGAUGAAAAGAAUAGCUUAAUUUGAAAAUAGAAAAUAUCAGCCAAAGCAUCUGAACUCGAAAAUAUAUACUCAACUGUAAAACCAAGAAGAGGAUGAAGAUUUACAUACCAAGGAAAUAUAUGUGAACUUUGAGGAGCCAAGACAGAGCUUCAUAUAUUUCAGACACUAACAAAGUCGGUGAAGGUUUUUUUUUUCUUUUUUUUUUUGACAAAUAAAUUAUUUAUACUCAUAAGGACAUAUUUACGAAAUAAUAGUGACUAAAUUUCAUAGUUGAAAUUUGUCAGUGGAUUUGCUUAACUACUAGUAGGAAUCAGUUUUCUUGUGGAUUCCAAAUAGUAAAGUACCGAAAAAUCAAAUAUCUACUCAAAUGUAAAAUCAAGACAACUAAACCGCCAAAGAGACAGAUGAAAAUUUACAUACCAAGGAAAUCUAUAGAUGAACUCAGGGGAGCCAAGACGGGCUUCUGUUUUGAUCCAGGCAAUCUCACAAGGUCGUUGAAGUUUUUUUCUUUGUUUUUUUAUUUUUUUUUGUGUUCAAAGAAAACUGAAGUUGAAAUAAACUUUGCACUGCAAUGAUGAGAAGGCCAAGGAAUUAAUAAAUAACAGACUUACACUUGUCUUCUUUUUAAUGCGUAUAGAUAAUUCUGCUUCUGGAAGGUACUGAAAUCCUUUCUUGAAACUUACCACUCUGUUCUCACUACUUGAAUGUGAAAGGGUAAGAGACAAAUACAAGUUUCUAGCUCUCUGCUUCACACAAAUGCCAUGAGUGGAUUGUAACUGUAGACGAUCAAAACUGUUAAUUUGGCCACACAAAAUAAUUCAGUGCCAAUUUUGCAUGUAAAGAUUGCAGAUGUAUUCUCAAAUGCAUAAACCAUAGAAGAAAAUGAUGCACAUAUAUACCAAGGAAACAUGAAGUUUGAGGACCCAAGGCCAAGCUUUUCUCUAUUGAUCAAAGAAAACUCAAGUAGAAAUCAAGUUUGCACUAUAAUAACCAAAAGCCCACUAGCAGAGGGAAUUAAUAAACAACAAAUAUCUGUCAAUCUAAGAUCAAAAGAACAACUUAAUUUGAAAAUAGAAAACAUGUGUCAAAGCAUCUAAACUUGCAAAUAUCUAUACUCAAAUGUAAAACCACAGAAGAAGAGGAUGAACAUUUACAUACCAAAGGAGUAAUACAUGAACUUUAAGGGGCCAUGACAGAGCUUCUAUUUUGAUCCAGCCAAAAUAUAUUACAGAAACUGACAAAGUCGGUGAAGGGUUUUUUUUUUCUUUUUUUGAGUUCAAAGAAAACUGAAGUUGAUAUAAUAAACUUUGCACUGCAAUGAUCGGAAGGCCAGGAAAUUAAAACAACAAAAAGACUUUCACUUAUAAUUCUGUUUCUGAUAACAAAAACAGUAGUUGAACAUAGAAAGUAGAAACUCUUAAGGCAAAGACUUGUUUUCUUUGGAGUCGUGGAGAUACUCUGCUGGUUGGCUUUCCAGGAAGUGUUAUUGGAACAGACCACCUUCAACUUGCAUAUUGAUGUUAUUGGAACAAAGUGGAAACUUUAAAAAACGGGUGAGCAUUAUGGUAAGUCUAACCUUAUUGUAUGGUCAAUAAAUAUAAUUAAAAAAAAUAAUAAAAAUUUGUUUGAUAGUUUAACAAGUAAACUAUAUACUUAAUUUUUAAGCAUAUCCAUUUUAUUUUAUGUUAAUAACAUAGAUCAUUUUUAAAUUUAUUUAUUUUUUAAAUAUCAUUUAAUUUUAAUUUUAUUUUUAUCUUAAAAUAUAUGAAUAUUUUUAUUUUUAAUAAUAACAUUAUUUCUAAAUAAUUUAAUUCAAUCAAAAUUUUUUUUUUUCUCAAUUAAGCUUGUUAUCAUGGUAGGUUACGUUAAAUCUUACAUAGUUACAUCAAUAUUUAAACAAUUUUUGUUCCACUUUUAUGAUUUUUUAUGUUAAUUCUUAUAUAUUUGCGUUAAGAUUUUUUAAUUGUUAAUUUUUACUAUAAUUAUUUUUAUCCUUAUUAUUAUUCAUUUAUAAAUUAAAAUUUAAAUAUUUAAUUUUUAUAAAUAUUAUAUUUAUUUUAACUUAAUUGAUUUAUUUUGUUAAAUUUUAUAUAUUUAUAUUAAUAUUUUAAUAACAAUUAUUCCACUUGCAUAAUUUUUUACUUUAAUUUUUAUAGAUUUACGUCAUACCUUUUCCUUUUUUUUUUAAUUGAACAUAUUGUCUCCUAUGAUUUCAAUAUAUUGAAUCUGUAUAAAUCACUAGUUGCAAACAAAAAAAAAAAAAGAUCUCCAAGCUUUCUUUUUUCUUUUUUCCUUUUCCUAAAUUUGGAACAAUAGAGAGUCGACUCCUAAUUCUUUGAACAACAGCUACAUAGAUCAAUUACUGAGUGUCUAAGUCAAAUGCUUGGGUGCAUCCACAAACUUCUGUUGAAUUACUUUAAUAAAACUUAAGUUAAUUUCUCUAAAAAUUUACCAUGAUUCAAACGUAAGUUCACACCUUCUAUUUAUAUUAAUUUCUUUAAUAUAACCUUUUAUUACGUAAGUUCAGACUUUCACUUAUCUUCUUUGGAAUGCAUGCAGAUUAUAAUUCUGCUUCUGAUAACAAAAACUGUAAUUGAAUAUAGAAAGUAGAAACUCUAAGGCAAAUUAAGACUUCUUUUCUUUUGAAUCUCUUUUUCUUUUUAUUGUUACUAAUUUUUCUUAUUCAUAUCCUUAGUGAAUGACAAGGGCCCCAACAUCUUAUGCCUUAUCAUUGACCAAUUCUCUCACAAAAAGACUGGAAAAAAAAAAGUAAAGAAUGGAGUCAUGAAAACUCUCUGCUAAGGACACUGGUUUUUUUUUUUCUUAUAAUUGGGGAGGGGGGAUUCGAACUUUACUUUUUAAGUAGGGAGAUUACACACCAACUAAUAAAUCAAAUGUUCGGGUGCAGCUGAGGACCUUGGUUACCUUCCAGGAAGUUUUAUGAAAACUAGAGGAUGGGCUUGCGAGGAUGUCAAUGUAUAGAAAAUUUUUGAAAUUCUGCUUCAAAUUCAUUGAAUGAAUAUAUUAAAAUGAAAAGCCAUAAACUUAUAUGUAUUAUAUGUGUGAAACUGAUGGCUUUUCCGUCACAUUUAACAAUAAAUUGAAGUGGAUCAAACCUUAAGCAGCUGAUUUUUGAAAAAGCAUUUGGUUAAUUCUCACUCAAAGACAAAAUAUUGAUGAAAGUCUAAUUAAUGCAAAAUUGACUUCAUCAGAAAAUCAUGCCUCCUCGUGGUUAAUUAAUGUAUCUGUCUGAUUAUUUCAUUGGGAGGGUAAAAUAAAAUGAAUGCCUCUUCUCCCGUCCUUCUCCUCUUCCCUAAAGAACAUGUGACAGUGGGUCCGCACUUUGAAUAUUGUGUGUAAUAGGGAAGAAAGAGGUUUGGUCAGUCGUCACCUAAUUCAUUAUCUCUGCUCUAAAGUUAACAAAGAAAUAUUAAUUUGGAAUUAGGACUCUUCUUAGCUCUUGCUUUCGAAAGAAUUAAGUCUAACACGAAAAUCUUAUUUAUCAAAGUAAAAGGGAGAUUCUUGGAAUUUUCCCAGAUAUUUUUGAUUCAUGGUGGAAUAUUUACGCCACAAAAUUUUUGAUUCUUGGAAUUUACUUUUAUUCUAAGGAUAAUUAAGUUCAUACCUUUCAUUUUUUCUUUGUGUAUAUAUGCAAAUGAGACACAAAAUUAUUGGUGGAAUUUUGAAUUAUUGAUGCCUUUCUUUUUGUCGUUUUUCAUUUAUUUUUCAGUAUUAAUAUCUGAUCUACUUGGUUAGUUUACAUGAAAAACACUUGACUCUCCUUUUAAAUAGAAACUACUAUUAUUAUCUCGUAAGUGUCUUUAAGAGUUAUCACUUUACCCUAAUUUAUAUUUCUGUAGCAAUUAAGCAUUACUUGGUAAAUUAUCUUCUAGAAAUGGGUAACGACCUACAUUUAGAAGCAUUUUGUGAACUUUUGCGGUGCUAAAUCAUCAUGGACAAAUUUUAGUGAACAAAAGAUUCUUCCCGCAGCAGCUUUCUAAUAAAUUCUUAUACAUGAUGUAAUCAUGAGUGUUGUUUCUUGAGCCGGAAAUGACUUUAUUUAUAGGGAUGAAUAGAAUAUAACAUAUCCAACUUUGAUAUUCAAAUAAUAGAACAAAGUCAAGACAAGAUAAGUGUUUUGCUUAAGAAAAAGAAGAAUAAAGGAAAGGAAGACAGAUAGGCCAAUUUGGAUUUAGUUGACUUAUAGUUACGAUGACUUGCACUCAAUCCUAUAGAUGGGCCAAAGAAAUUGAAUUACUUCAAUGAAGCAUAGAUUUCCCCUAAAUAAAAUUUACUUUUAUUCUAAGGAUAAUUAAGUUCAGACCUUUCAUUUUUUCUUUGUGUAUAUACGCAAAUGAGACACGAAAUCAUUGGUGGAAUUUGAAUUAUUGAUGCCUUUCUUUUUGUCAUUUUUAAUUUUUUUUUCAGCAUUAGUUUCUGACCUACUUGAUUGGUUUACACAGAAAACACUUGACUUUCCUUUUAAAUAGAAACUACUAUUAUUAUCUUGUAAAUGUCCUUAAGAGUUAUCACUUUUCCCCUGUUUAUAUUUCUUUAGCAAUUAAGCAUUACUUGGUAAAUUUUCUUCUAGAAAUGAGUAAGGACCUACAUUUAGAUGCAUUUUGUGAACUUGUUGUGGGGCUAAAUCAUCGUGGACAAAUUUUAGUGAACGAAAGAUUCUUCCUGCAGCAGCUUUCUAACAUAUUCUUAUACACGGUGUAAUGAUGAGUGUUGUUUCAUGGGCUGGUAAUCGCUUUAUUUAUGGGAAUGGAUAGAAAAAGAUAUGCGUUUUGCUUAAGAAAAAGAAGAAUAAAGGAAAGGCAGACAGAUAGGCCAAUUUGAAUUUGGUUGACUUAUAGUUAUGAUGACUUAUACUCGAUCCGAUAGAUGGGCCAAAGAAAAAAAGGGAGAAAAGGAUGGAGUUCAUGGAAAUGCUCUCGUAAGGACCCUGGUUGGCUUUCCAGGAAGUGUUAUGGCAAGAGGAUGGGACUUGCGAGGAUGUAAAUGUAUAGGAAAUUUUCCAACUGACCACAAUUGUUGAAAGUCUGCUUCAAAUCUCUGAGUGUUCUUUUUCUUUUUUUGUGCUCCUACGAAUUUAGAAGAAAAUCGAUACAUUAUUAUGAAGACUUCCUUGUUUAAUGUAGUCAUCAGUUUCACAAUUAGUUCAAUCUUUUUUACUGAAGCAUAUUUAUAGUAUAUUGUCCUUGUUUAAUAUACUUGUAUAAGGAUUAGUAUAAUUUAUGAAGGGAGCCUUGUGAUGAAUGGUGGUAGUUUAUCUGACCGCCUUCUGAUGCAUCUUUCUUUAUCAUGAAGGGAGCCUUCACAACCAAAUAAAGUGGGACAAAAAGAACAAGCAUUAUUAAUUUUAUGUUAACAAGUAGUAUAGCAUAUAACAAAUAAACAAAAAUCAGUGAUAGUACAGAGCACUGUUAUUUCUCUUCGUCCCCAAAUAGUUUCUCUAGUUCAGAAGCAACUUCUGCUGUGAUUAUUUAUAGUUUUGGCAGAGCAACACUAACUGGAAAGAGACUUUUCAGUUUAUUGCAGCCUCCAAUUCUGGUUUUAUUCAGUGCACAUAAACAUAGAGGUUGGAAUGAAUCCUUUGAUGAUGAUGAUCCAAUUCCAAGUGCAUGUAGAAAUGAUCCAAUCCCAUUUUAUAGUUCUUUUUACUAGAAUUUUCUUUUGAUAUAGAGUAAUCACUUAAUUUUUUAAAAUUCUUUUGGUGAACUUGUUGCAUGGCUAUACUACCAUGCCUAGAUCUUGUAGGUAGGAGUAGCAAUCAAACUUUUCAGUAUUUCAAUAAAUCACUCGAAAACUUCUCAAAAUAAAAAUCUGCCUGGUUUUAAUUUUUCAUGUCUUAAUUCCUACCUAACAUAUUUACACAACUUAUUCACCAAAAAUUUAAAAUACAAAAAAUAAGGAUAAGAAACAGAGAAAUUUCACUCUUGUUUUUCUACUUAUUGCACAUAUAGAGAGCAACAUAACAUUGAUUGGGUAAAUUAUUGAAUUCGAUUGAAAACUCCAUUAAGCAAACAUCUUUAACAGGUCAAAAAUUAUUUUUAAAAUUUUUGAUUUUGUAUAAUAUUUUAAAAAAUAAUGAUCAAAAUUGAGUUUAUUUUUAAUGAAAAAUAUCCAAUAGAUACAAACAAAAUGGGAUGGAGAUAGCAUGUAUUUGUAAUAAUAUUCGGUUCCGUUGAUGAAUAUUUUUGCUUUCUUUUCUUUUCUCUUUUUUGCAAAAAAAGAAUAGAAAGGAAAAGGAAAAAUAAAAAAAUAAAUAGCAAAAAAGAAGAGAUAAAAGUAUCAAACUGGUACGGAAUUUUAAAAAAUAGUCAUGUAAUAUGGAUAAUUAUGGAAAUAAAAUGUAUGCUAUGGUAAGAAAAGGAAAUUAAAUUGAACUUACUAAUUCUCUUGCUUUUGAGCCUUUUUUGUCUUUUGAUAGGGUUAGCUUUUUAGUCUCAUGGUUUAUGAUGCUACCAAUUUUUUUGAGUAGCAGAUCCGAUUUGGAAAUUGUACAGGAUCUCUUCACCCUCACCAGCAGUUUAUAUUAUGAGAGUCUUUUGCAAAUUAACUUGAGACUUGAAAUGACAUGUCAGGUGUUAAGAUAAAUAAAAUCCACUUUUCAAAAAAAAAAAAUCUAAUUCUAAGUGCAUGUAGAAAUGGUCCAAUCUCUUUUUAAAAUUCUUAUUGUAAGCAUUACUUGGUAAAAUUUUUUUCUAUCAAUGAGUAUUUACUUUAUUUUAAAUGCUUUUUAUGAACCUAUUGCCUGGCUAUACUACCAUGGUCAGAUCUUAUAAGUUGGAGUAACCAUCAAACUCUCAAUAUUUCAAUAAAUCACUUGAAACUUUUAUAAAAUAAAAAUCUACCUGCCUUGUAUAGGGAAAUUAAAGUUUAAUUUUCCAUGUCUUGAUUGCUGCAUAACAUAUUUGCAUAACCCUAAAUACAAAAAUAAAGAUAAGAAACAGAAGAAUUUCAAACUUGUUCUUCUGCUUAUUAUACAUAUAAAGAGUAACAUAACAUUGAUUGGGUAAAUUAAUGAAAGCAAGUGAUCCCUUCGCUUGACAACUCUAUGAAACCAACAUCCUGACCGACGAAAAGCACAAUAAUUUCAAGUAACUGUUUUUCUCUUCUUUUUUAUGUAAAUAAUAAAAGUUAGCACAAGUAAAUCACCAAAACUUGAUUAAGACUAGGCAAAUAGGUGAAAAAAAUGAAAAUGGAAAGCAACCUUUGCUUUACCAGUGUUUACUCAUUGAUGUUUAAAAAUACCUUUGCAACUUCCCCUGCAAUCAUCUCACCAUUCUUCCAUGUAAGGUGGCAGCUGAUAAUUAAUCCAACUUUCUCGGUACCAUUCUACGGUCUUGGUGUGGACUACAUUUUGAGCAGCGGCGGACCCUUCAGUGACGUCUUGCUUAACUAGUAGCGAUGCCUUUUUAAACAAUUGAAAAAGUGAAAUAUAAAAUAAAAGUAUUACUGCAGAAGGUAGGAAGGAACCAAAGUCAGCGUACCAGUUGGAACCCCAACCUGCCCCAGCGAAGCUUACGCCAGGUGGUUUGCCGACAGGGGUUACCAGCCCACCAUCACGGGGUACUCAGAGUGAAUCGUCAGGUGGACCGGGUUGCCCACUUAAUCAGAGCACAGGAGCCUGCAAAAACAAUAACCCACAAGGCAUGUCAAACUUGCCAUGGAAGUAAAACCUGCUUACAUUUUGUAGUCUUCAGCUAAUUGCGUGGUAGGCACGGGCUCUUGUGUUGUGUUAGUAUUCAUCAUAAGCAGGCAGGCUUCAGUUUGUAAUUUAAGCAUUGUGUAAGUGAAGUAGAAUUAUGCGUUAUCUUGUACUUUGUGACCCCGUUGCUAGAUAGCUAGAAAGGGCUACUUGGGCAGACGGCUGAGGGGAUGCUCUUUGCACUUGUAAGGUGAUGUUAGAAGUUUGAGAAAAGGGCCAUGCUCUUUGGUGUUUUAGACUGAGAUGGUGAGUUAGUUUGACUUCCUUGUCUUUGUUGUAGUUGCUUCUUUUGUUGCCCAUCAGAGUUAACUAGUGUAAUUUAUCUGUUUCUCCAUUCAUCAUUAUCAAGUUGAUAUUGAUGCUAGUUGAGCUCAGCUGGGUGUUUACUUAUAUGCGGACGAUGGGUGACGAUGCUUUCAAUGUUGAAUGCUAAUUUGCCACUAUUGAUCUCUCCACUCAGCUUUCGUAUGCAUUUCUGUAAGAGACAUCAUUAUUCCUAUAUCUGAUUGCCAUCCAACAUAAAAAAAAAAAAAAUCUCAUGUUAUGAGGGCAAAAGAAAAAAAUAUACAUAUUAUGAUUUAUAAGCAUUUUAAGCCAAAAUUCAUUCAAGUUGGAUUUAGAAAAUUUUUUUCUUUUAUUAAUUUUCGAUGAUUUAGAAAAGAGAGGUUUAGUAAUUUUCAAUAUUUGUGAAUUUUGGAAAGAUAAUGUUAAAAAAAUCAUUAGUAAAAUUAUGUUGCAAUUAGCUUUUACAUUUGUUUAAGAUAAUAAAUGCAUGCUGCCAAUAUAAAUGUUUUGUUAGGAAGUAACAGAAAAAAAUUAAGAAAAUACUUUGUGCUUUCCAUCAAUUUGUCAGCCUUGUCCAUCAAGUCCAAAACGGAAGCAAUGAGGGUGCGCAACUAGAGAACGGGGAAUGGACAGUGUGGGUUUCAAGAAGAGUUGUGUUCAUUGAAAUGAUAGAAAUUUUUGUAAGCGUAAGUAAAAUGAUAUAAGUGAAAACUUAAGCUCUCCAAGGUACAAUCGGCAUACCUUAUAAGACAUUGGAGGCUUGCAACUUGGAUGGGACUACUCAUAAAUCCCAAAGAAAGUACACAUAGCAGUCUAUGCAUCUAAUUACUCAUAAAUCAAAGGGAUUACUUUAAUAUUCGUUUGAUUUGGUUACAAAGGUCAAUUAACUUAUGACUUGACACGUAAAAAGUCGAAAGCUAACUUUUUCUAUUUUCAAAAAUUUAGAUUAGUUCAUAUCUUUUUAUUAUAUCUAAUUAAAUCUCUGAAUUGUUAUUUUUCACUAUAUAUUAAAAUAAUUUUAGAUGAAAUUCAUGGAUGACUAUUAAUCCCUUAACAUUUAUAAGGCAUGUGAAAAAUAUGAUGUCAUAAUAAAAUACUGGUUAUAUUUACUAAUUAGAUCAGUAAACUAUAUUUAUUUUACCAUGUCAUGUGUCCAUCAUUGCCGCAUCAUAUUUUCCACUUGUCCUACAAAUGCCAACAUUGUCACAUAAUAUUUCUCAUGUAUCCUAUAAAUGCCAACAUGACAAGGGAUUAAUGCGUCCAUGGAUUCUAUAUAUCCAAAUAAGGGAGAGUGUUUGGAUAGUGAAAUAUUAUAUUUUAGAGCUUAAUUAAACAGCUUUAAAAGUCUCUUGCGACAUAUAAUGUGAAACAUCCGCGGCCAAAUCCCCAACAAAGAUUGUGUAAUCAAGACCCUCAUCUUGCCUCUUUUCCCCGUAUCCAAGUGCCGCCCAAUUCAAUCUAAAAUUCUAUAAACAGAGGGAAGAGAAUCCAUAAUAAAUAAUAAAUAAUUUACAACCGUCAGAGCUAUAAUUUCUUACUCUAUCUCUUCAAAGUAAGAAAGUAACUCGAACAUCCUCAAAAAUUGUAUGAAAUUCCAACUACGUGAUGUCAAAGUUAUCAGUUUUAUAUCUCCUAUUUGACAUUUGCAUUGUAAUUUUGAAAGAAGUAUUAAAUAAAUGUAUAUAUCCAUUAGAUUUGUGUCAUUUUUUUUUAUGUUAAACUUGUAAUUUUUACAUCCAAAUGUUGAUAUCGUUUUUCCAAAAGUUACAUUUUUCUUAUUUAAAAGCCAUAAAUAAACAUAUAUAUAUAUAUAUCCAUUAGAUUUGUGCUAUUUUUUUCAUAUUAAACUUGUGAUUUUAACAUUCAAAUAUUGAUAUUGCUUUUUCAAAAAUUAUAUUUCUCUUGCUUAAAAGCCAUAAAAGCAUAUUGAGUUCGGCUAAGUUAAGGCCUAUACAUAUCAAGAAGAAGUGGGCUUUACCCCUGUAACAUGGCUAAUUUGAUGGAAAAAAAAAAAAAAGCUCAUUUUCAGAGCUACUAGUAAGUCCAAAUUUUUGUUUAAAAAAAAUCAUCCAUACGGUUGUAAAAUUAUAUCUUAAUUUCACCAUUUUACCAUAUUUGUAACAAUUUUGUAAUGUCAUGUCAAUAUUUAUUAUAAUUUAUUAAUAUAUCAUAUUGAUGUUAUCUGAUUUAAAAUAAUAAAUAAUAUUUCAAUUAUUAAUACUAAAAAUUUAUUUAAAUAUAAAUUAAAAUAAAUAAAAAUUUAUUUAAAAUUGUAAUACUAUAUAUGUCUAAAAUAUUAAAAAAAUAAACUAAAAUCUUAAAUUUCAAUCUUUUACAAUAAUUUAUCUUAAAACUAAAUUAAUAUAAAUUAUUAUUUUCUAGAGGUUUUUCUUUCUUGCAGAUUUUUUUUUGUUUUGCUGUUGACUUUGAUAAUUAUGAUUAGGAAGACGACAUUAACUUCUUCUUUUUUGUUUUUUUUUAUUAAGUAAUAUUAUUCUGUUUUUAAUAAGAUAUAUAUGAAUCAUUAUUGUUUAUGGAAUUAAUGAAAAAGAAAUUUUUUUGGCCUUCCCACUUUAUGGGUUGUGGGUCCCGCGCCCGUACGAGUGCGUUCAAACAAGCAUCGGCAGGGGCGUCAAAUAACCUGACGGUAUUCGCCCCCACCCCAAAUAAAAAUAAAAAAUAUAAAUAUAAAGUAAAUAAACAGCCCGAGACCCAGAGAAGUUACGGACCCGAAGCCUGAGAGGAGUCGAAAAAGGAAAAAGAAAUUGGUUAGUCUCCGUCGUUCCCUUCCAAACCUUAAAAAGUACAACUUUCCUGGCCUGCUCCGGAACUCUCUCGAACUUUCUCUAAUCUACCUAUUAUACCCUCCCACACUUUAUACUCCUAAGUUCUGUCUAUUAUGGCUGUACCUCUUGCAUUGUGAACAUCUCCAUGCUCGACUACCUUCACCAGCUGAUGGAAUCCUUUUCCUUCUAGGUCUUCCCGCUUGGCUUCACCAAGGUGGGGGCAAGACGAUAAUUUAUUUCACAUGAGGGGGGAUGUCCCACUCACUAGGAUGCCCUACAGGCCUAAUGGAUCAUGAAUAACCCUCCACCAAAACGGUUGUCUUAUAGUAGUCAAUGCAGAAUUCAAUGGCUUCACGAUUGCAUUUACUGAAAAAUACAAUAAACUCAAUCGUCAAGCACAAUGUAAAUGCUAUGUCAAUUACUGUUCAAAUAAGAAAUAAAGAUAUUCUGAUCUUAUUGCUGCAAUGGCAUGGCUGCAUGGCAUUAAAUCUGUUUAGAACUCACAAGAUGAACAUGUCUUCCUAAACAGGUUUAUAAGUCUGUCCAUCUUCCCGUCUUUAACUUCAAACUCCACUCGAUUGAUAGGCUUAACUAGAAAGCGAUGUGCAUCAUUGAACCGUUUGCUCAACUACCUGGCAACCCAAAGGCUGAAGGGCGUGGUCACCUUGACGGCUUCCUCGUACCUGUCAUGGAACCAAUGCUGGAACAUAUCUCUGAUGAACUCGAUCAAAACAGUGAUUGGCAUUUGUCUUGUAUGCUUCAAGCAUGAGUUAACACAUUUCGCAAUGUUGGAUGUCAUCAUUUGGUAUCGCCUUGCCGGUGAACAUGCACGUGCCCAUUUCUCAGGCCCUAUUCUCAUAAGGUCAGCGUGGGCUCCCGAGUGAAUCUGCUGUAGCUGGUUCAUAUGUCUAUUGAAAUCAGCCACUUUAUAGCAAUCUCGAACAAGGGUAAAAAGCAUACAAACAUCGUCGCGCUUGAACUUGUUUUUAAAGUUUUUUUCAAGUGGUAACCACAUAAACCAUGGUGCGCUUCUGGGUAUGCAUUUUGGAUUGCUUUCUUAAUGUCGAGAUGCUGAUAAAAAAUGAACAUAGUGUUUUCAGGACAACCAACCGCAUCACGCAGCUUGCUAAGACACCACGUCCACGAGUCUUCGUCUUUAACAUGGCCGAUGCCAAACGCAACUGGAAAUACGCACUUGUUCGCAUCUUUGCUUACAGCGACAAACAGAACACCCUUGAACUUGCCUUUCAGAUGUGUCGCAUCAAUUGCAACCGUAAGAAGCAUUACAUCCCUAAACCCCCGAAUACAAGCCCCGUAUGACCAGAAACAAUAUUUGAAUCUUUCUUCCUCAUUAGUAGCUACUACAGUCACUGUGCCAGGAUUUUCUUGUUUCAACAUAUAAAAAUAUGAGAGUAGUAGUUGAAAUGACUCCUCCGGUGGACCAAAAACAAGCCUCUCCGCAUACUCCUUCGCUUGCUAAGCCUUACCAUACAAGCAUUCCAAUCCCCACUGAACCCUCAUCUCACAAAUUAUGUCCUUAGGUCUCAAUGCUACUCCAUUAGCUCGAAGCUUGUGUGACAUAAGUUCACCAAUCAUCUUUGCACUCGUAGUUGAAAACCGCCCUUGCAAACCAUCAACGGUACAGGUGUGUACUUUGUGGAAUGUCCGAACUUGCCAAUAUUCUCCUAUAUCAGGUAACUUCGUUGCACGCACACUGAACUUGCAUGCCUUGUCCUUGCAACCAACCUCAUAACGAGCUUUACAUGACAUUUUUACUCUUAUCGCAAACUUCUCUUUUAUAACCAACAUGUUCAAAGCUCGUUUCAACUCAGCCUUUGAUGAAAACAUUUUUCCUUUGUAUAAGCGAUCUUCAGCACAUGUCGACUCCUUAGUGGUAAUUGUUUGGAAGGAGAACCUUUCUGCACCUGCAAUUACCCACGUACAAGAUAUCCCUGUAUUUUCCCUUUCUUGAUCACUGUCAUCGAGCAAUGCAUUAAGGGAACAAAUCCCGUUCUCACCAGUGAUGGGGUUAUUGUAUAUGGGGUCAUCACGCUAAACAUCUAGGACAUCAACACCUCCAACAGGUUCCGUUUUGCCUUCAACAUUAUUACGAAUUGGAAUGUCACUGUCACAAAGGCAGUCAUCGUCUGAAUUGUCAUCUUGCCAUUGUUCAAGCCCAUCAUUUGAAGUGUCAUCAAAUCUAUCUUCACCAGCAGUGAACAAAUCCUCAUUUCCCUCAUCAAAUGCAGUAUUAUCCUCUAGUGUCGUAGUGUCACCCUCCAACCUCACAUUGUUGUCCUUAAGUGUCGUAUUCUCAUUUAACAAUGGCAUUAUGCACUCUACAGUUUCACUUGAUCGUUGCAUUUGUUAGAGAAAAACAAGAAAUUGGUUUGAUGCACAUCCUGAUCGAAAUUGUGUAGCCAACUAUUCUGUGAAUGUCGUUUGUCUACCGGGCUGCAAAAGCUCUUGUGCAUACCUCAAUUGCCAUUGUUAUGGGUUCCGAAUCGAAUGCUGUGGUAUAUGUGAAGCAUUUUAAAUCUCAUUUUGAUUGAUCUGAUUACCAUGUUGUCCAACUUCUUCAUGUGACAUAACAUUUGUUCGGCGUCCCUUAAUGCUGACAUACACAGUCGAAACAUUCCUCUGUUCUAGCAGAAUUAAUGCAACAUCCUCAUCGUCCUUAAUAAUUGGCCGUGAUAGCUCUCCAGGCAUAUUGAUCAAUGCAUGUAACUCAAUCUUGUCAAUUUCUGAGUUUACCCCAAUAAAAUCUUCAACCAGCUUCAUCAAGCCCGCAAACGACAAAUCACUCCUAACCUCCCGCAUUCGUGACUCACCACCCUUGUAAAUGCCAUCCACCCACUGACCACCAUGUCUUAUCACAAGUCGCACAAUUGGAACCCCACUGAAAUUUUGAAAAAAAAAUAUUGUUAAUCAUUUUACACAAUACACGUCGUGAUAAAAAAUUUAUCAGUCGUGUUGUUACACGCCAUGCAUAUAACGUAAAAUAUUGUAACACAUCAUGCAUAUCAAAUCAAAUGUCGUGACACGUCAUGCAUCACUAUCGUGACAUGCCAAUCACAGUAAUUACUGACUCGUUACACCAACAACCAUGACACUGUAAAAACCCAAAAAACCAGUUUAUCCACAACACGCCAGGAACAACCGUGACACACCCAAAACCCAAAAAACCAGUUAACCCACGACACGCCAGGAAUAGCUGUGACAUGCCAAAAACCCAUAAAUUCAGUUGUCAUGCCAAGAACAAUUGUGACACGCAAAAAAUCCAUAAAUUCAGUUAACCCACGACACGCCAGGAACAACCGUGACAUGUUAAAAACCCAUAAAUUCAAUUAACCCACGACACGCCAGGAACAGCCGUGACACGCUAACAACCAAAAAAACUAGUUAACCCACAACACGCUAGGAAUAACCGUGACACGCUAAAAUAACGCUAACACAUGUUAUAGAUGCAUGGCGUGUAACAACUCUGGGCAAUGUUUCUAAUCUAACUUCUAAUUUACACCAAAUGUUUCAGAAAUUUAAGUGUGUUGCAAAAAUAAACCCAAUAACAGGUACCUUGAUGUCAUCUCUGCUAUAGGGUCCGUUAAUCUACGAUAAUGUGGCCAGAUGCCUAGAGAUAGACCAUAGCCGAUGACGAUGGUGCUCAAUAGAGAGUUCACAGAGCUUAUACAGUUCAGAGAUCUAAGAGAGUUGACGACGAUGGUGCUCAACAGAGACUUGCCAGAGUUGAGACAGUUCAAAGAGUUGAGAGAGAAAGAUGACCGAGCCUAAACAGCUGCGCGCAUUUAUUUUUAUUUUUUUCUAUUUUCUCUUUGGCAUGAGGCAUAUAGCUCAAACAAAUGAGCAUUUAUUUGAAACGAUGUUUUUAAGGGUAUUUUGGUCUACUCAUGCUUAUUUUUUGCUAGAAACAGAUAAUUUUAUAUGGAUAGUUAUUUCUAAAAUCACCUUAUCACAAGGUCCUUUUCUUACAAUUUUCUCUUUUUUUUUUUGCUAUCAUUUCUUGUCUUCUUUUUGCCUCAAAUGUUUUUUUUUUAAGUUCUCAUUAAUUAAGAAGAUACAGAUUACUACUUCCAAAAAAAAAAAAGAAGAUAAAGAUUACAAAUGGGACAUAGACAUCAUUGCUAUCAAAGCUUUUGAAUGAUUGAUAAAUGUCUUUUAGAUUUUUGUCAUUUUGCAAUCAUUUUUACCUUGGGAUCCAUUUAUUUCUGACUUUCUUGCUUGGUAGGUUUAAUGGCUUUCAUGGAAAAAUACUUGCCCUAUUUUUUUUUUUUUGGAUUAAAUUCUGUGUUUUAAGGGAUUGAAGCUUUACACUUCGUUUAACACAAGGAAAAAUGGCGAAAUACAUCAAACGAUUCAUAUAGUGCAAGGAUCAUGUUUUGCUUGAAGAGAAGUAGAAGGUCAAGGCACAUCUCUACUUUUUGAGCUAUCAUUUACAGAUCCUUAGGAACGUUUCCUCCAUGGCUGGUGAUCUAACACAAGAAAGAAGAUCAUCUAAGCCUAAAUUGUUCUAAUCAAAGCUAUUUCGAUUCAUUGAUCCCUCGAUUAUUGUUCUUUAUUUUUUUCAUUUUUCAAUCAAUUUUAUCUUGAGUUGAUGGCUUCCAAUUAUGUUGCCCCUUUUCGUAAUUUUCUGAACUACUUUGUUGGUUUAAUGGAUUUCAUGUAAAAACACUUGCACUAUUUAUUUCAAUUUUGGGUUUAACUUUUGUGAUCAAAUUAUGCCCCCAAUGGAUGUAAAAUUUAAUGAAAAAAUAAAUAAAUAAGGUUCAAGAUUCAAUUUCAUGUAUUGAAAGAAGUACAAAUAAAAAUAUAUAUAUUGAAAGAUGUAACUAAUUUAGAUUAUUUAAGGUGAAUAUUCUGGUUCGGCCAAAGAAAAAAAAGGCCUUAUUCUGUAAAUGUUUUAUAGUAGUUGUCUCUAAAUUUUCUAUUGUUCUUUGUAAGGGACUACAAUUAUUUGAUAGUUCUAUGAAUCUAGAUUUGUCAUAUAAAUUAAGGCAGAAUUCCCCCUACCCCUUAAAUUAAAUCCCUCAGCCAAAAGAAAAAAAAUCCAAAAGUUAAACUCUACAAAAUCUAUUUGUCAUUGGAAAAAAAGGAAAGCCCAAGAAAUGAUUUCUUGGGCUGGAAAUGGCUUUAUUUACGUGGAUGAAUAAAACACAACCCUUUCAACGUUCAUAUUCAAACGUUGUACAAUUAAUGGAAUACGUAUUUUGUUUAAAUAAAAAAAAGAAGAUUAAAAGAAAGGAAGGCAGAUACACCAAUUUGGAUUUGAAUGAUUUAUAAUUAUGAUGAUUUUCAUAUUCAUAUUCACUUUUGUUAAUAAAAAAGUUUUUGAAAAAGAAUUUUUAUAGACAGUUGAAAUUUGGUGUUAAUAAGCAUAGGAAAAAUAAAAAAAAUAAGUAAUUAAAUAGACUUGAUUUUUUAUCAUCUCGGUCCAUCUCAUUAUCUUUGUUCUUUAUUGAUUUUUUUAUUAAAUAAACUCGACUUUGAUCAUUAUUUUUAAUCACAUCAUAAAGUUAUAAAAUUUUUGAAAAUAAGAUUUGUAAAUUUUGAAUUUUAAACUUUCAAAAUAUAUUUUUUGAAUUUUGAAUUAUAUAUAAUAUUUUAAAAAUAAUGAUAAAAAUUGAGUUCAUUAAUUUGACGAAAAAAAUCAAACAGAUAUAAAUAAAACGAGAUGGGGAUAGCAUGUAUUUGUAAUAAAAUUAGGCUCCCGUUGAUGAGUACUUUUACUUCCUUUUCCUUUUUCUAUUGCAAAAAAUGAAUAAAAAGGAAAAGGCAAAAUAAAUAUAUAAAAAAAGAUAAAAGUAUUAAACUGGCACGGAAUCUAAGUGCAUGUAGAAAUAAUCGAAUCCCUUCUUAUAAUUCUUAUUAUAAGCAUUACCUGGUAAAAUUUUCUUCCAUCAAUGAGAAAUUACUUCAUUUUAAAUGCUUUAUGUGAACUUGCUGCCAAGCUAUGCUACCAUGGCCAGAUCUUAUAGGUUGAAGUAACAAUCAAACUCUCAAUAUGUCAAUAAAUCACUUGGAACCUUCAUAAUAAAAGUGUACUUGGCUUGUAUAGGAAAAUUAAAGUUUUAUUUCCCAGGUCUUGAUUUAAAAAUCAAAAAUAAAAACAAGAAAUAGAAGAAUUUCAGGCUUGUUCUUUUACUUAUUGUACAUACAAACAGCAACAUAACAUUGAUUGAGUAAAUUAUUGAAAGCAAGUGAUCCCUUCCCUUGACAAGUCCAUGAAGCCAACAUCUUGACCAACGAUAAGCACAAUAAUUUCAACUACCCGUUUUUCUUUUUUUUUAUAUAUAUAUAUAAAUAAUAAAGGUUAGCACAAAUGAACCACCAAAACUUGAUUAGGACUAGGCAAACAAGUGAAAGAAAUGAAAAUGGAAAGUAGCCUUUGUUUUACCUGUGUUUAGUUGACGGCCCCAAAAUACUCCUUGAUAUUUAAACAUGCCUUUGGAACUUCUCCUACAAUCAUCUCAUAGUUCUUCCUUGUAAGGUGGUAGAUGAUCACCCGGACGCUGCCGGCGCCAAUCUAUGGUCUUGGUGUGGACUACAUUCUGAUCAGUGACAGAUUCUUCGGUGGUAUCUUGCUCAACCAGUUGCGGUGUCUUUUUAAUAAUUGAAACAGUAAAAUGUCAAACAAAAGUAUUAAUGUUACAUGUUAUAAGGGUAAAAGAAAAACUAGACAUUAUAAUUUAUAAGCAUUUUAAGUCAAAAAUUUAUUAAAGGUGACGGAAAGUGAUAUUCUAGACCAACAAUCAUUUAAGUAAUUUUUUUUAAAGUAUUUUAAGUAAUUUAAGUAAAGACUUUGAAGAUUAUGUCUUAUAAUAUUAUUAAAGACUUGAAUUGCCUUUGCACACACCAAAUAAAAGCUUCUAUUUAAUGCAGUAAUCAAUAGUAAAAGCUCUUAAUCAUCAUUAACAAUUAUGUUGGGAGGAUUUGGAGAAUGAAGAAGGUAUUUACAGUUUUUGUGAAUAAUAUUCUUGCAAGAGUCCAUUAUUGAAGAUGGCUUCAAAGGAUUUCUUAUCAAUUUGGAAAGGUUGUCAAUACAUUUAUAGGGAGAAAUAAAAGCAAAUAUGGUAAGAGGCAUCCAUUUAUCAUAUUUGGAUCUUUUAAUAAAGCUAGAAGAGCAGGCCAAAAUUUAAAUGGAGCCUGACUUCUUAACCAAAGGCUAGAGGAACCAAAAAGGAAGCUUCUUAUGGACCUAGUACUAACGACAAUGGGAAAGAAACCUGCAGUGGGAUUUUGAGACAAAACUCGACCUUAUUCACUAAGCCAUCUUAUGCUCUGGUAUUGAAGGGUGCUUUUGAAAGUGGUGGAGCUUCAAAUGAAGAGAGAGGAGAUGAUCUUCAAUGUCCUAAAAAGCAUGGAAAACAUGCUUUGUUUGAAGAGAAGUGUUGUGGUAACAACAUAAUGUAAUUCAGAUUCAGCAAAUUUAAUGGCAUUAUUUAAAAUGCAAGGCAUUUCAGGGCUGCUUGAGGAGUUUGUCUAACAAAGAAUUUCUGCUAAACUUUAAGGAUAAGGAGCUGUUUGAAGAGUUCAAAGAUAAAGGUUGGGAUUGGCUUAACAAAUGGUUUACUAAGGUGGAAACAUGGUUAGAGAAUUUUUCAUCAAAACUCCUUAGCAAGUGGUUUAUUGUACAGGGCAUCCUUUAGAUGUGUGAAAUAGGCAUAUUGUAAUUUAUAAGCAUUUUAGGCCAAAUUCAUUAAAAGUGAUAUUCUAGACUAAGUUUUGGUUGUAGUGUCACACACAAUCAUUUAAGUAAGUUAAGUAAAGACUUUGAGGAUUAUGCCUUAAAAUAAAAAAGAUUAAAGUUUUUAGGGUGUAUACCUCUAUUUUGGCGUGCACAUAUUCCUCUGAAUCUAUGAAGAAGCCUGUAGUCAUCUUGGGACAUUCUCUUACUUUCAAAGAAAUCAAAGCCGAUAAUACAAAGUGAUAUCCUCUCGGGCAGAAGUCAAUGAGGCUUGGCAGUUCUUUAAGUGAUAAAUAUUUUAAUUGAUCAAACUUUAUUUCUUUUUCAGUUAUCACUUCUACUUCAUCUUCAAGUUCAAACAGUUGCUCCAAUUUAGAGUUCCCUUUAACUGUUAACUUUUCAAGUUUUGGAAGACAACAAGCAGAUCCAAGGGGAAAGAGACAUCUUAGCCUCUUGCAAUCAAUCACCUUUAGAAUUGUAAGGUUUUUGAGAGUAACAACUUGAGUGACAUCCUUCCAUAUAAUACACACUUCAGAUAAAUCCAACAGGUAGAGUUCCCUUAUAUGCCCAUGAACAUGGAAUACCUCUUCAUGACUCCCAACUGCUAUGUAGUCUUGACUGCAAUUGGCAGAAACACGCAAUUGACAACUAUUUCCCAACUUAGACAGAAGUAAUUCCUGCAAAUAUAGACACCACUAAAUGUCACAAGUACAUUCAUUUUCUAUUAGAAUGGGAAUAGUUGAGCAAAUGCUACUAAUAAUUUUUCAUAAUUUUAUAUGCCACUUCACAAAAAAUCCUUACAAUUUUAACGGCAGCACAUAUAUAUGUUUCAAAAUUUAAAUCCAAAAGUUUCAUGAAAUUGUUUGAAAGUAGAAUCCAAAGACACCUAACCCUUUCAAGUUUUUCUCUGUUAAUUUUGAACUUAAAACCAUUUAUGGUUUUCCUUUUCGUUUGUAUUUUUCUUUGUCAUUUUGUCUUGAACAAUGUUGAUUUGAAAAGUAAACACAAAGUGAUAAAGUGUCAAUUUGUUUUUGUAAUUUUCCUUAAUUAUAUAUAACAACACAAAAGAAAUCCACCCCCCCCGCCCCCCCAAACGGAAAGCCUAAAUCUCUCAAUCUCUUUCUCUUGUCUGAAACUUGAAUUGAAGAAAGUAGAAACACCUUCAAUAAAAAAAAAAGGAACUCAUGGCCAAGAAGAAAAAGAAAACUUAAAUUGCAGAAGAAAGAGAAAAUGGAAUCGAAGAAGGAAAAGGAAGCUCGAACAAGAAAAAAGGAAUUGCUAGGAUGUCAUCGUGAAAAAAAUAUAUGAUGAAUUUGAAGUCAGAAACAAGGACAAGGAAAACCCAAAGAUCCCCAGGUUACCCACAAAUAAUAUUUAUUUUUCAAAAUAGAUAGUAUAAAAUUUUUGAAUUGUAACUUUAAAAUGUAGUUGGAUUAGUUUAUGAGUGUUGAAAAGAUUUGGUUCAAAGGUAAAAUCUAAAACUAUAAUUGAAGGAAAAGUGUAUAAAAGAUACCUUUAGUAGAACCUGCUCGUUAACUUCUUUUUGAAUUGUGAAAUUUGUCAAUUUAGGACAGUUCCAAACACCCAACUUCUCCAAGGAUGGUGAUGAGAUGAGAAAGUUUUCCGAGCAAAAGCAACUCAAAUUUAUCAAGUUUACAAGUAGUAAAUCUUGUAGGGAAGGGAGUGCAAUGGCACAAUCAACUCCAUUCUUUUCUUUUGCCACAUGGAAGACUUGUUGUAACUGAGGAGAAUUGCUUAUCCAAAAUGAUUUCAAUCGUGGAAGAACUUGAGCCAAAGGAAUUUGAAAAAUAUUUUCCAAUAUUGGACAAUGACUUAUUCGUAGAGUUUCCAAUUUUGGCAAAAACGACGAAUGGAGAUGGGUAUUUGUUUCUAUUUCAUCAUCACAGUCCAACUCGGUGAUAAUGUGUUGCAAUCCAUCACAAUGAUCUAUCUGGAGUUGUUCAAGGAGCACCAAGCUUUGAGCAAGGGAUGGUGAAAAGAGAUGUUUCAAUCUAUUGCAGUAACUAAUUUCGACAAACUUCAAGCUUUGGAGGCUGACAAAACAGGUGGACCCUUUCCAUAUCCACUUCAAUUCUGGUAAUAAUUUUAGCUCCAUCAGUGUUAAAUUUGACAACAGCGAUCCUUGAUUUUCUUUCGUAUCAUGAAGAAACUCAUCUAUUUGAAAUACUUCUUGCAACUGGCCACAGUUAAUAACUUUCACUUCCUCUAGAUUUUGUAGCGCGGGAGAUAAAAAAGCCAUUUCCAUGCAAUUCCUUGCUUCCAACGUCUUUAGUUUUUGUAGAAACCCUUUUGGAAACCCACCGUUGCACAACAUUUUCAAACCAGUCAUUUGUUCUAUGAAUAAUUCCACCAAAUUAGAGAAGGCAUUGGAUGAGACAUGGCCUUGUGUUGUAUCAAUCAAGCAUUCCAGCUCCUCACCAUCUUUAAGUGUAAGAAAAGUUAAUUCAUUAAGCCCCUUUGGAUCUACAUUUGGAAUAAGAUUUUUCUGAUUCUUGACUCCAUCCAAGGUAAGAUUUUUGACAUUGUGUAAUAACUCCUUCAAUGCAUGCAAUUGAUCACUCUGAUAAAUUCACAACAAAAUGAAUAUUAGACAAAUAGAAAAUAGCAUAAAAUUUAAAAAUUGACACAAAAGAAAACUGUUUUAUCUUUUCAUUGAAAGCUCAUUAAAGUUGAAAAACACACCAAAGCUUGGAGUAUAAGUAAUAGUGUACAUGCUGAAAUUUAUUGGAUACAUGGAAAUAUGAUUUAGCAAUAAAGUACACGUGGCGUGCAUGCAAGGAAGGAAAAAAAAUAAAAAUUUUUAUUGCCACAUGCUUGUUUGCUUUUUGUUCAUUAAAUGCAUUAAAUUUUUUAUUUUAUCAUGCCACGUAUCUGCUAUUGCCACGUCAUAGUUUAACAUGUCCUAUAAAUGCUAGCGUGGCUAGGAGUUAAAAAUCCAUGGAUUCUAUCCUAAUAAGGAUGCUUGGACAAUGACAAAGAACACUUUAAGAGCUUAAUGAGAUGCAAUUAUAUGCUAAAUUAUCAUGCAGCACUCUCAAUCUUAUAAUAUGAAUGAAUUCUUUUUUUUUUUUAAUGACAAGUACGCUAAGUAAUUAAUGAAGGAAUUGGAGACAAAGUUGCUGAUGAUGAGAGUUUGAAUUUUUCUAAGGAUACAAGUGUGACUUAUCCUAAUUUUUAUAAAAUAAUGCUUUGUAAAAACCUUUCUUGAAUAAGAGUUUUCAUCUUUUUCCUAUUUUGUUAUUCAAAUCCUUUUCCCAUUUCAAGAAAGAUUCAGAAUCAACUAGCUAAUUAUUGUACGAAUGUGCUGUUCUUUCUUUUUAAUUCAUGAGUAUUGACUUUUAAUAUCCGUCAAAAUAAAGAGUAUAAUUUUUGAACAACAAGGAAAAGUGUAUAAAAGAAAUACCUCUACUUGAAUUUUCUCGUUAACUUCUUUUUGAAUGUUGAAAUUUGCCAAUUUAGGACAGUUCCAAACUUCCAACUUCUCCAAAGAUGGUGAUGAGAUGAGAAAGUUUUCUGAGGAAAAGCAACUCAAAUUUAUCAAGUUUACAAGUAGUAAAUCUUGUAGGCAAGGGAGUGCGAUGGCACAAUCAACUCCAUUCUUUUCUUUUGCCCCAUGGAAGACUUGUUGUAACUGAGGAGAAUCGGUUAUCCAAAAUGAUUUCAAUCGCGGAAGAACUUGAGCCAAAGGAAUUUGAAAAAUAUUUUCUAAUAUUGGACAAUGACUUAUUCUUAGAGUUUCCAAUUUUGGCAAGAACGAAAAAUGGAGAUGGGCAUUUGUUUCUAUUCCAUCAUCAUAGACCAACUCGGUGAUAAUGUGUUGCAGUCCAUCACAGUGAUCUAUCUUGAGUUGUUGUAGCAGUACCAAGCUUUGAGCAAGGGAUGGUGAGAAGAGAUGUUUCAAUCUAUUGCAGCAACUAAUUUCUACAAACUUCAAGCUUUGGAGGCUGACAAAACGGGUGGACCCUUUCCAUACCCAAUUCAAUUCUGGUAAUGAGUUUAGCUCCAUAAGUGUUAAAUUUGACAACAGCAGUCCUUGAUUUUCUUUCGUAUCAUGAAGAAACUCAUCUAUUUGAAAUACUUCUUGCAACUGGCUACAAUUAAUAACUUUCACUUCUUUUAGAUUUUGCAGCGCAGGAGAUAAAGAGACCAUUUCCAUGCAAUUCCUUGUUGUCAACUUCUCUAGUUUUUGUAGAAAGCCCUUUGGAAACUGACCGUUGCACAACAUUUUCAAACCAUUCAUUUCUUCUAUUACUAAUUCCACCAAAUUGAAGAAUGUAUUGGUUGAGACAUGGCCUUGUGUUGUAUCAAUCAAGCAUUCGAGCUCCUCGCCACCUUUAAGUGCAAGAAAAUUUAAUUCAUUAAGUCCCUUUUGAUCUACAUUUGGAACGAGAUUUUUUUGAUACAUGACUCCAUUCAAGGUAAGAUAUUUGACAUUCUGUAAUAACUCCUUCACUGCUUGCAAUGGAACGUCCUGAUAAAUUCACAACAAAAUGAAAGAUAUUAGAAAAAUAGAAAGGUAGAUAAUACUCCUUAAAUCAGAAUUGAUUUUUUUUUUCUAUGCAUAAAAUUUAAAAAUUGAGACAAAAGAAAACUGUUUUAUCUUUUCAUUUAAAGCUCAUUAAAGUUGAAAAACAUACCAAAGCUUGGAGUAUAAAUAGUGUAUAGUAUUCUUUUAUGUACAUAUUAAUGUACUAAAAGAAAGAUGUUUUUCUAUGAUCAGAUAAAUAAUCAAUUAAUAAUUAUCAAAAGUAAAAUUGAAACAAACGAAAAUAUAACAGAACUACCAUCAAUAGAGACCGCGACCAAAGUCCUUCGUGAAUAUGGAAACGAGUCAUUGAUCCGCGUGGGAGACCAAUACUGCAAGCUUGGAAUCCCUUCAAAGAUGGCAACAUGACAAAAUAGUUUCUGGGACAAAAGUUCCUGAAGUUUAGUAAGUAUUCAAGUCUUAAAGACUGUAAGCGAGGGAGCAGAAUAUCGUGCCCAUACUCUUCUUUUGCCAUGUUGAAGACAUGCAUUAGUUGAGGGCAAUCAAUUAUCUGAACUGAUUCCAAGUGCGGAAGUCCUUGAGCCAAAGUGAUGGGAAACACAUAUCUCAAGCUUUCGCAACUAGCUAUCACAAGAGAUUUUAAUUUUGGCCAGCACAGAAGAGAGCGAUCCUUGUUUGAAAUUAUCUCAUCACCAUUUUCUGCUUCGGUGAUUAAAUGUUCCAAAGAGUUGCUUCCCUUUAUCCAGAGUUCUUCCAGAUGCACCAAAGUUUGAGCAAGUGUAGCUAAAAAGAGAUACUCCAGUUUAGAACACGAGCAAAUUCUCAUAGUUUUAAGAUUCUGGAGGUUAACAAGAUGGGUGGGUUCUCUCCAUAUGCACCUCAAUUCUGGUAAGGACUCCAGCUCCAAACAAAUUAAAUUUGAGAGUGGGGGUGCCUGAUUUUCCUCACAUAAAACAUAUAUUAUCAAUAAAUAAUUAUUUAAAUAUGAAUUCGUUGUACUUGUUCAAAAAAGUACUUAAAUAUUAAAGGCAUACAUUUUAAAAAAUUUUAAAACGAAGUGUAAAAAGCCACAAUUUAGAAAGAUUACAACUGAUGUUUACUUAUAUAUUUGGUAAUUUAACAUAAAAAAACACAAUUAGAUAAAGAACAAAUAAUAGAAUUAUUAAAGGAAAAAUGGAGAGAUGAGGGGUACCUCCAACUCAGCCAUAUCUUGGGCAAAAGCAAAGACUUGCUCUAAUUUCUUGCAUGCAGAUAUCUUGAGUUGUUCAAGAUGCAACAAACUUUGAGCAAGGCAAGGUGAGAAGAUUGAUUUUAGUUUAUCACAACCAUCAACUUUUACAUCCUUCAGAUUUUGUAGGCUUACAAGAUGAGUUGGCUCUUUCCAUAUACUCUCUAAUGCUGGUAAUGACUGCAGCUCCAAGCUUCUUAAAUUUGAGAUCGACCACAUACAACCAUUCAUUUGAAACACUGAUUGCAACUGUCCACAAUCGCAAAUGAUCAAUGUUUCUAAGUGUUGUAAGAAGCUAUUCGGUAAUUGACCAUGGCAUAACUCUUUCAAAGAAGUCAUUUUACCAAUGUCUAAGUUCACCAAAUUAGAGAAUGCAGUGGCUGGACUCUGUUCUCGUGUUGUAUCGAUCAAGCAUUCCAAAUCAUCGCAAGAUGUAAGCUGAAGAGAAGUUAAUUCAUUUAGUCCCCACUGAUCUACAUUUGGAACAACAGUUUUGUGUUCCAUGAUAUUCUCCAGACUCAGCCUUUCCACAUUGCGAAACAGCUCCUUAAAUGCAUUUAAUGAGGAGGAAUCUCUAAUUCUCAAUAUUCUCGAGAUAAGCUUUCUCGGAAUUUCAAUGUAUCCAUUUACACCUAUAUUGUAGCUUUGUAGUUUAGGAAACACAAAGUUUUCUUGAAAACAUUGAUCAGUAGAAACUGUCAAUGUUAAUGCAGUCAAACGAGACAACGAAUUCAACUCCGAUAAGUUGGCAAUGGUAAAACUUAACAUGUGUAGCUCUUGGAGUGACGUUAACCUGUUACACACAAAUACACAAUAUUAUUAACACAAUAACAGCACUUUCAAGCAGACAAUGAAAUAGCUACUAUUAAACUACAGCUUGCAAUGUUUCAUAAUAAUCGGAGUGACUAAAAGCUCAUGAUAUAUAUACAUAUAUAUAUAUAUAUAUAUGUAUAUAGUAGUCAAAUUGAAAACAACAAAAGGAAAAAUAAAAUAACAUAAAAUUAAAUUUUUUUUUUACUCAGCCAAGAAAAAAAAGAGAUUUAUAUAUAGACAGCUUAAAUGUACAAAAUAAGAAGAAACAAGAACAACCGCUCAAAGCAAAAAACUUAAAAAGAAGCAACUUGAUAGCUUGGCUGGAGGCAAAAUCAACACUUCAUAUGAGAUGACAUGUUACGGGAUUGGUGUCAGUACACAAGAGACCAACAUAUCAAACAGUCUCAUAAAAAUCGACCAAGGCAAAGAUGAAUAUAUUGGCACAAUCAGAUUGCCAGCGGGAAACAAUAAAAUUAAAUACUUAAGUAAAAACAAUUAGAUAAUCAGUUUUAAUGACAUCUAAGUAUUACCUUGAUAUCAAGUUAGGGGGGACAUGUCUGUCUUCAUCUCCAACCCAAAAAAUAUAUAGUGACUUUAGUCUGCGCAACUCCACUAAUUCUUCAGGUAAUUCAUCAAUAUAAGUUCUAAUCAAAGACAAAGACUCAAGAUUUUCUAGAUUUCUCAACGAUGAAAUGUUCUCAACGUCACACCUCAUAAUGCACAGAGUUCGCAGAUUUGUUAGGAAUUGAAGUGCUUCCAUUGAGAAUACAACACGUUGAAGAAAUAAAACUCGGAGGGUUUUCAUUCCUUCAAAAAAUUUACUCGGAACUCUUAGGUAAUCUUCUCCCGUUAAAAACAAAGUCUUGAGUUUUGAAAAUUCUAAUUUAUCGGGAAAAUUAACUAUCUUAAUAUUCCAUAAGGAGAUUGUUGUGUAACAACCAAAAAUUUCACUCUUAGGCCAUUCCGUCAGCUCAUUUUUUACCAUGAACAUAUUUUCCCCUCUUGAUGUUAUCCAAUGAGCAAAAUCACGAACCACAUCAUGCAUUUUUACAUAGAAUUCAUCGUCAGUUUCCAAUAACAAACCAAACUUUUGGAGCUUUGAUAGUGCUAGAUGAAUUUCCCUCCUUAUUUCUUCAAUUAAGUUAAUAUGACAAAACAGUCCCUGACCAAUUCCGAAUUCAGUCAACAACUCAACAUUAAUAUCAUAAUCUUCUGGAAAAAGAGAACACAACAAGAAACAUGACUGAAUAUUUUCUUCCUUCAAAUAAUCAUAACUAAGCUUAAGGCAGCUAUAGAUACCUCCACAAACAUCUUGAUUAUCCAAAUGUCUUGACUCCUUAAGUCGUUGAUUUGCUGCUAUCCACCCAUUUAGACUUUCACGUUUUAGAGCUUUCGCCAUAGUUACAAUUGCAAGAGGCAAACCCUUAGCUUCACGAGCAACCUCCUUGGCUACAUCAUUCAAGGUGGGAGAGGCAUCUUUUAGACCAGCAUUAUCUUUGAAUAAAGCCCAUGCCUCAUCUUCAGACAGAAUGUUCAGUUUAAAUUCUUCUUGACAAUUCAUUUGACUACAGACUUGUCGAAGACGUGUAGUUAGAAGAAUUUUGCAACCAGGGUGUUUGUCACCAGAUGGAAUUCCUAUAUUUCGCAAUUCAAACUGUUCCCAAACAUCAUCGAGAAUAAUGAGAAUCUUCUUCUCGCCUUUUAAUCUCUUGAAUAACUCUUCUGCUUUUCCUUCUUCUGUACUUGCAUUAAAUUUUAAACCCAAGAUUUCAGAAAUUCUAUGUUGAAUUUUGUUGAUGUCUGGAUUUUGAGACACCCCCCUAACAAUCACAACUUUAUCAAAGAGCUUUUCUUCCGUAGCUUGCUUCCCCACUACUUCCGCCAAAGUUGUUUUACCCACUCCUGGCAUUCCGUGCAAUCCAAUCACGUUCACACCAUCACCUUUUAAAGCCUUCAUGAUCCCAUUGAAAGCUAACGUUGAAGAUUCGGAACGCAUGAAAUCCUUGGGUAGUAGGAACUCUAUUCCUUGAAGAGGAGGGCGCUGGCCGACUAGUGGAAAGUUACAGGUCUCUAAAAGUUUAGAGAUACAAAGAUUCUUCUUCGCGACUUUCUUACUUAAGCAAUAUCGCCAACCCCAACUAGGACACCAAUUGAAACACUUGUUACGCUCUAUUUCUUCUUCCAAACUCUGAGCUUCUCCCAAUUCUUUAUCUGCCUUUGUUAGCCACUCCUCAACGCCCUUCUUAAUUACCUCAGUUUGCCUUAAAGCCUCAUCGACAGCAUCUUUCAACUCAUCUCUUUUUGAUUCAAGUUCAUUUCGCCGGUUCUUGAAAUCUUCAACAAUUUCGCCAAAACGGAAAAAGUAACGGAGAUAAGGUGAUGCGUAUUCUGUUGCUAAGUUCCCCGCGGUACCGCUAAUAGCAGCGCAAACACAUUCAAGAAACAUUCUUUGAUGAUCUGAGGCUGAAAAACAAUUUGGAUGAGUAAAAUGUUUUACAGAGAGACAAAAAGUAAUUACGAAAUGUUCACAAAAUAUCUCGCCUUUGCAGCAAUACUUUUAUAAAAUAUGUGAAUCACAAGAGAACAAAUUGUCCGCCGACUAACUUGGAAAUUGAAAAUGCUGCACAAGUAGAAAUUAUUCACUGGUCAUGUGUAUAGUAAUUAGAAAUAUAUCUUACAUGUUAGAGUAAAAUCAUAGUAUUAUGAUUCUAUAAAAUACUUUCUCAAAAUUUAAAAUAUCUAUUUAUUUCAGUUUUUUCCUAAUAGCUACAGCUUUUGUGUAACCAUGCAUGCUCGUCAUGGGCAAGGAAAGAAGUAAAGUGCAAAAUUAUUAUUUUUAUUUUCCAAGUGAAGAACUCAAGAAGUCAAAUGCAUAAGUGACAAGAGAAAUAAAAAGCAUAGCAAAAAUUAUAUAUGGACAAUAUAAUAUGUAUUGUUGAAGCUUACCUCACUUCGAAAGGAUCUUCUAACGCUGCAUGGAUUUUUUCUUCACCAACUCCGGAGAUCGGGAAAGUAAAAUUAAGGACUUCUUUUCUGGAUAGAAAGCAGAGAAAUCCAAAUACUAGAGGUAGCAGCUUUGGGUUUUUUUUUUUUUUUUGGCCUUUGUGGAGCUGAGGAAAGGAAACGUAGGGAUCAAAGAACAGUUUUUGUUUUUUAUUUUUCUGAGUUAAAAGAAAAUGAGGAAAGUAGAAACCAAUGGAAAAAACGAACAGAGAUUUUUUUUUUUUUUGAGUUGAAAGAAAAUGAGGAAAGCAGAAACCAAUGACAAUAAACCAACAGAGAUGCUUUUCUGUUUUUGAGUUGAAAAAUUGAGUGGAAAAAUCAAGGAAAAUGAAAUGGAAAAUUAAGGCAGAAAUCAAACAAAAUCUUUGGGAUAGUGCAGCUCACAGAUGUGGAGAUGGUAGAAGAAGAAGCUUGAAUGGAAACUCUAUGAAGACGAAGUAGUGAGAGUAGGUAUAGGAACUUUGGAACACUAAUAUUCAAAUUAGGAACAACGGAAAAAAAUUAGCAACUUGGCUUACACUUCCCAUGUAAGAUUCUCUUUUCUUUGAUAUGCGAGAGCUAAUGCUAUACAUUGAGAAAGUUAAUUUGUUUUAUUUAUCGUUUUUCAGUUGGCUUUUCCAUAGUUUGUCCCCCUUUUGUUUUUUCUUCCCUGGUUGUGGGUGGUGCUCGAGACACAAAUGUUUAUUGCUCCCUCUAGCUAAAAGCUCUUUGGCCAGCAUGUGCAAUCAACAUUAUUAUAUAAUGUUUAUAGAUUUGAGGAUUUUUGUUUACCACUAGAGACAGUUGCAUGUGAACGAAUUAGAUAUUCUAUUCAAAUUUUAAUUGGGAAUCAGUAAAAUUUCAUUAAUAAAAAAAUUAUUUGGUGAUUAAGUUUAUUUAAAGGAUAAAUAUAGUUAAUGAUUAAGAGUUUUUAAUGGAUAGGAAUUCAUGGUGACAAAGUAAUAUGGUUUUAUAAAUAUGGAAUGUGUCUUAACUUUUAAAAUUAAGAUAGAGAUGAGAUCUUUAUAUGAUCUUAUGUAAAAGAUAAUUUUUUUUAAAUGGAGUUUUUUGUAAAAACUUCACAGAAUUAUAGAGAUGUGAGAAGGAGCACGAGAAAUACAAGAAAGAGUAGGGGAAACGCAGUUUGCAUGGGAUCGAAAGUAUUUUAUGAGUUGAAACAAUAGGGAGCACAGAAACUGGAUUUGUUUCGAAGCUUAAGUUUAGUAUUUGUUUUUAUUUGUACUUUUUGUAAUCUCUAUGCCUAUAAUGAAUUUUUCUGAAUGCAUAUUAAAUAUUAUCUCUUAUAUGUGCUUUAUAAAUUAAAUUUUCAUUUGUAAUUUAUUUACUUAACUUACAAAAUAUAUAGUAUAAAAAGGAGGGUUUUUCUUUCUAGUUUUUUAGUGAUAUAUUACCUUGGACUCCGCACCUGGUCUUUAAGCUCAUGUGGUUAAAGCUCAGCAGAGUAAUAAGAUUUGGUCAUUAUCUUGGGCUUUACGUUGACCCAACCAGAGCAAUCUACUCUCAUUUUAAGGAAAGGAAGUACUUAUUGUAAACCUUGAACUAGUGGGAGUAAUUGUUUAUAUACCUUUCUCUCUUCCAAAACGUUGGUCCUAUCCUUUUAUUUCGAAUUUUUUCAUUUUUUAGUUAAUUUUCUUUUAAAAAAUUAUAUUCUGUGGAGGGAGGACAUGAGCCCGUAGUGAAAAUGUAUUUGUAUUAUCAAAAUCAAAUAAAAACUAAAAGAAAUAUCAUCAAAAACAGGGGUCAAAGCCUUGUACCCUUUCUAUACUUUUAUCACUUCGCUUUUUCCGUUAUAUUUGGUCUUUGAGGUGAUGGCCUUGGAGUAGUAAUGUAUUCUUCCAACAAUUACUAGUCAUUUUACAAUAAUAGGAAAUUUUUUAGUAAAAUAUUUAUAUAAUAUAUUGCCCUGUUUAAAUUGUGUAGGCCUCAAUAAGUUAAAUUUUGAGCUGAUUAAAUUAUCGAAAAUUAUCCAAUAAACUGUCAUGGAGUUUGAAAACUUUAUCAAUGGAAUUAGGAGGUUGCAACAUAUUCAUUCGGAUAUAUUUGAAAAAAUAAAUAAAUUAAUCUGAUAAAUAAAAGGAUAUUAAUUUGACAAUAUUUUAAUUUUACUAACAAAGUUAAAAUCUCACCGAGGAUGCAUAGAUUAAUAGUCCUUAAAAUAAUCCCUUUGUUUUUACAAUUGAGGGACAUUGAUCGUUACAUGCAUUAGUAGUGGAGAUUUGUUGCCUUUUCCUUAAAAGAUCAUUACAUUUUUUGCUUAAUUGCAUGCUUGUGUUCGGCUUAUAUAUAUAGGCUUUCAUUAGUGCUUGUUGAAUUAUGGCAGUGAAGUGUUUAGUAGAGUUGAUAUGAAUGAAGUGACUAUCCAGAGAUAUUGCAUCGUAUCGUUUUCUGCUUAUUGGGUUCCAUUGCUUGGAGCAUUUCUGCAGUUUCUGCGUACUUAUUUGCUACAACUUGAAAGAAAUGAGCAUGGCAAGAUUGUAUACAAAUUUGCCUAUGACUUCAAAUUUAGUUCGGCUUGAUCAACAAAAGAGGAAAAUUUCAGUUGAGAUUUUAGCAUUUUGGUUACUGAAUGAGUGACUCUAGGAAGAUGGAUAACGUUCAUGCAUGCUUGCGAAGCUCGUUUGGUAAUAUAUAGCACAAAAAGCAUAGUGAACCCAACUUCGAAACACAUGGAUGCCAUCUAUUUUUCUAACAACAGCCGUGGCAAGCGUGAGCAUACCAAUUCUAAGUUCUAACAUUGGGUUUAGACCACUUUAUCAAAUUUCAAAGCCUUUCUUUAGUGCUUUUUUCCCCUGGAUUUCUUGGUAGAAUUAACUGGUGCCGUAAAAGAGGGCCAUGUUGGGGAUGGCAGGGGACGGAUUAGUGUAAUUUUUUUAUAUUUAUAAUUGAAACAAAUUAGAGGAAUGCAGAUUAGGGGACAGUAGAUUAUGGAAACGGUGGAAGACAUUUCAGCAGGUGGAUUCUUUAAAGGAGGUGAUAGGCAGUGUAUUAUUCUGUGAGUGCUGAUUUUUUGGCAAAGGAAGGUGCAAGGAGAGAAAGUUUUUAUUGGAUAUUGUCAUUACCUUGAGAUUUACAUUGAGCCAGUGGGAUUAAUUAUUAUUAUUAUUUUUUUGUUUUUAAGAAAAAGAACCACUUUUUGUAAACCGUGAACUAAUGGAGGCAAUUGGUUUUAUAUACAUAUUGCUCUUGCAAAACAUUGUAAUUUAGAAAUUUAGAAGUAGAGGUAUACGUUGAUCCCUUCAUUAAUUCGACAACUUCCAUAUAAAACAAAAGCUCAGCAGAUGAAGACGAAGCUAGCAGCUAGCUUGGAGGGAAGUGUGUAAGGCACUAAGCAGCUAGCAGUACAAUUCCUGGCCUCAGUCAUGGUUCACUUUUUGCCUAUGGAGACGCAAUCUCUUUUUAUAAUCAAUUUGUUUUCAUUUGACACUCUGUUUAAGAUGUAGUAGCUCAAUCUCAGCCAUAUACACGAAUAAAAUAAAACGACGGUAUUUACUUGGUUAAUUGGUUGUUAGCCAACUUGAUGGAAAUCUAGUAAUUAAAAGCCAAAGGAAAAUAUCAUCAAAAUCAGGGGCCAAAGCCUUUCGCCUUUUUUAUAGUUGAUGCUCCUUCCAGCUUUUACCACAUUGCUUUUUCCUUUACACUUGGUCUUUGAGGUGAUAGCCUUGGAAUAGUAAUGAGAACCACCCAAAACCAAUUAAAGUAGAUGAUAGAUGAAAGAAAGAAAUGAGAAUACUUGUUAAUUUGCUACUAAGUAGCAGCAGCUAGUCAAAUUCAGAUUUAUGCAUUAACAUAGUUUCACCUUCUUGUUAAAAUUUAUUCUGAUUCUUCUGAUGUAGCUUUAUUUACCCAGCAGCGAGCCUUCAAAAUCAAACAAAGUGGGACAUGAAGAACAAAAAUUAGCUUGGGACAAUCUUCAACCGAAGAAGUCAAAUUUGGAAAUACAAGAUGGUAACAUUAUAUAAUAAUUGAGGGAGCACUAUUUGCUUCUCUUUCUGGGUACUUACUUCUUCAUCUGCAAUUCCAAAUAGUUGCUCUAGUUCAGAAGAUCCUUCGACUGUGAUUAUUUCUAGUUUUGGCAGAGCAACAUUAACCGGAAACAGACUUUUCAUUUUAUUUCAGUAACCAACACAAAAUCGAUUCUUUCAACAACCCCAACCCCCGCAUAAGCCAGAAUUUCAAUUUCAUUACUUUUGGAAAUGAGAAAAACAAGAAACUGAGUGCGUACUGGUAAUAUUCACAGUCAAACGUAUUGCAUAUUUCAUCUGAUGGUAAAGGUUGUUGCAUCAUAUUUGAUAAACAAAGAGGAGAUAUUCGGGAUUUUUUUUUCUUAAUUUUAAUUUGGGCAUUGAAAUUUUAUUAAAGAGUGUUAGGCCUUGAAAAAGGGGAAGAUGUUUUUGGCAUAGAAACUUCAAGGACUUUAUAUUUUUCUUCUUCCAAUUGCCAUUGGUUUGUAAGCAAAGAUGGGAGUAAGGAAUGCAGUUGCCAAAUCUAACAAGUUUGUUUCACAAUUGAGGGGCUAUGUGAUCUGAUGUCUCAGGGUGAAGAUUUGUUACUUUUUCUCCCAGCGUUUUACAAGCAUGGAAAACCAUGGGGAAAUUUGUUGAUGUCUGACUCAGACAUGCAAGUAGACAUUACAAAUCAACUAAACAUUGUAAAAGAGAAGCAAAGAUCAACCAGCUGCAAGUCAACUAAACACAGAGAAAAACCAUGUUGCUCACAGUCCUUUCCCAAGUCAGAGAGGUAUAACUCCUGCAAAGACAUAAAUAUAUCAUAAUUUCAUUAGAAAUUGAAUAGAUUACAAAGGGCCAAGACACUGUUGCCUAAAUAUUGGAAGAGAAAAAUGUCUUGAAUCCCAAAGAAAGAACAUAUAUCACUCUAUGCAUCUAAUUAAUCAUAACUCAAGCAAUUACUUUAAUAUACGAUUGAUUAUAAGUGUACGUUAAUAAACUCAGUUACAAAGAUCAAUUAACAUAUGACCUCAAAAGUACAAAGCUUUCAUAUUAUUUCAAAAAAAUUUAGAUAAGCUCAUAUCUUUUUAUUGUAUUUAAUUAAAUUUUUUAAAUAUUAAUUUUCAAUAUCCAAACCUUUUUUUUUUUGGAUAAAACCCAUAGAUGAUGGUUAAUCCUUUAACAUGCGAUAAUAACUCCGUCACUGCAUGCAAUUGAACUUCCUAAUAAAUUCACAACAAAAUGGAAGAUACUAGAAAAAUUGGAAAGGUAGAUAAUACACCUUAAAUCAGAAUUGAAAUAUUUUUAUAUGUGUAAAAAUUAGAGAUUUGGGCCAAAAGAAAAUUUUGUACCUUUUCUUUAAAGCUUAUUAAAGUAGAAAAAUAAACUAAAGUUUGGAGUAUAAAUAGUGUAUAGUAUAUAUACAGGUAAAUGUCAAUGUAAUAAAAGUUUUCGAUGGGAAAGAUGUUUUCUUAUGAAAUAAACAAUCAACUAAUAAGUAUCAAAAGAAACAUUGGAACAAAUGAAAAUAUAACAAAAUUACCUUCAACUGAGACUGCGACGUAAGUCUUUGUGGAUCUUGGGAAUGAGUCAUUAAUUGGGGUUGGGGACUAAUAUUGCAAGGGUCAAAAUCUUUCGAAGAUGGUAACAUGGCAGAAUAAUUUCUUGGACAAAAGCUCCUCAAGUUUUUCAAGUUUUCAAGUGUUUAAAUCUGUUAUUGAGGGAGCACAAUACGGUGCCCAUCCUUUUCUUUUCCCAUGUUGGAGACAUGCAUUAAUUGAGGGCAAUCAAUUAUCUGAACCGAUUCCAAGUACGGAAGUCCUUGAGCCAAAGUGAUUGGAAACACAUAUUUCAAGCUUUUGCAACUAGCUGUCUGAAGAGAUUUCAAUCUUGGCCAGCAUAGAGAAUAGCAAUCCAUAAUUGAAACUAUUUCAUCCCCAUUUUCUGUUUCUAUGAUUAAAUGCUCUAAAGAGUCGGUUUUCUCUAUAUGGAGUUCUUCCAGAUGCUUCAUAGAUUGAGUAAGGGCAGGCAAAAAGAGAUAUACAAGCUUAGAACAUGACCAAAUUCUCAUAGUCGUUAAGACUUCGGAGAUUAACAAAAUGGGCAGAUCCUCUCCAUAUGCAUCUCAAUUUUGGUAAUGACUCAAGCUCCAAACAAGUUAAAUUUGAUAGUACUUGUGCCUCAUUUUCCUCACAUAAAGAAUAACACAUAAAAGUUGAGAGAUAUAAAGCGUCUUCUUUGCAUCUUUGAUACUUAUGCAGUAUCGCCAGCCCCAACUAGGACACCAAUUGAAAUACUUGUUACGCUCUAUUUCUUCUUCCAAACUCUGAGCUUCUCCCAAUUCUAUCUCUGCCUUUGUUAGCCACUCCUUAACGUCCUUCUUAAUUACCUCAGUUUGCCUUACAGCCUCAUCGACAUCAUCUUGCACCUGAUCUUUUUUCGAUUGAAGUGCUUUUCGCUGCUUCUUGAAAUCUUCAACAAUUUUGGCAAAACAGAAAAAGAAAGUGAGAUAAGGUCAUGCUUAUUCUUUUGCCAGAUUCCCUACAGCAUGUAAAACUGCGGAUGGCAAUUGUAUUCAGCCUGCAACAACAUUGCCCGUAGACUAGAAAACUCAAUAUCACAGAGAAGGAAGGAAAGAUAUGGGAUGAAACAAGAAAGGGAACCAAAAUAAAAAAACAAAAAAGAGAUGAAGGAACCUGACCCUCUCAAAGAAAUAAAAACCACAACAUUGUACACCAGCCAAUGAAAACCCACAACCUUAAAACAUGUCGUAUCAAAGCAACACCUUAAGUGCCCUUGAAGAGUGGACCAGUUUCAAGCCACAGUAGAGCAACCACACCUCACUGCAAAAUACAAUAAAAAUAAAACACAUUAAGCACAACGUAUAUAAUGUCAGAAAAUGAUAAUGGCAGAUGUAGCGAGCAUAGACAAACUAGUCAUUUCAUUUGUUUUUUAUUAACCUUCCAUGCAAUUAAAGUAACAAAGGGUGGUCAAACAGAUUCAGCAUGCUUGCAUUCUUUCUGCUUUUGCUAAGAGCCAGGAAUAAUUAUGAAAAUAUGUAUAAUUCGUAAAAUCAUGUUUACCUGCUGUGGUUGUUGGUAAGCUUAUGGUUGCUGGUAAUUCCCAUAUCCAAGAUAGCCCCCAUAGGACAUGUUAGGAUCUUGGGGAGGAGGUGCAUAUCCAUAUGCUUCAAAUCCUUGAGCAUAUCCAUAAUAUCCACCAUUCCACUAGGCCUGAUCUGGUUGAGCCUGAAACUCCAACAGAUUUCCCUCUUAGUUUGUAGAAAUAUAUAUAGCAAGGUUUUAAUUACAAAAUACCAUGAUUUUAAAUACAAAACCUGAUUGCUUGAAGGACUACAUCCCCAUGAAAGUCAAAUGUUUCUUCCUCCUAAUACGAUGCCAUUCAAAACUGAUAAAGCUUGCUCUGCGUUAGUCCUGAAGUAUAUCAAAUUGCAGAAUAAAUUAAUAUAAUAUAAUAAUAUUUCACGCACUUAAAUAUUCGGAAGAAUUUACAGCUUACCUAUUAGCAUAUUGAACAAAACCACAACGCUUGUUAGCAGGAAUUUUUACAUGAACUACCUCACCCAGCUGGCUAAAUAUUUGUUUUAAUUGGUCUUCAGAAACACUAGGAUCCAAACCACCAACAAAUAUCUGCAUUUAAGCAUGUAAGAUUUCAGUCGACCACACCAUGAAAUAAGCAUAUUAAUAUAUAUAAAAAAGCUACCCACUGUGGUAUUAUUUGGAUCAUUCUCGCCAGGAUUUCCUUGAGUAUUUGGGUAAGAAGCUGCAAAUGACAAAUACAUGUAAACUACAAUAGAAUGAGAUGAUAAAAAAGCUCAUUGCUUCUCAAAACUCAAAUUAAACAUUGUUGAAAAAACCAAGCAUUAAGAUAAUACACUUAAAAAUACUAAAAAAGUUCUAAAAAAUUCCCUCCAUGGCAUGCAAAAGAACAAAAAUGUAAAACCACCAGCUAUACAUCACUCAAAAGUUACAAUUACAACCAUAAACCUCUUUGGGUUACAUCAAGGCUUACCAUUACCAGGGAAAGUGAAAAGUAUCAGACUAAAUGGAUUUCAAUAGUAGCCCAUAAAGAAAUCAUUAAUUACAUUACACUCAGGGAAUCGGUAAAGGUCCUAUUCUUUCAUUAACCUUUUACAAUAGCAUGAAAAGGAGAAAAAGGAAAAUUGAAAUCAGAGACUUAACUUUUCUCUGCACUUGACAUGAAAUAUUUCCUUUUGCUCCUUUCUUUCACACAUUUUUUGUAAGGGGGAGGGGAGGGAGGGAGGAAGCUGUCAGGGCUUAAAUAGAAUGAUUCACAACUUCAACUUCAAAGAUUAUGUUUUAGUAGAAAGAACCUAUCUGCUAAACUAAUUUCAGAAAUGCUUUAACAUUCUCUGCGUAGACAGAAACCUAUAGAGAUUAUAUUAGCAGCCACAAAAUGAUAAGAUGAAGAACAUAUUUAGAAAAUAAGGAAAUUCCUCUAAACUGAAGUGAUGCAAAACCUCAAAUGACAAGUAGAAAAAGAAUGCCUUGAAAAUGCAAUAUUAAUACUGGUAGAUUCAUACACAGCUAGGCCAUCACUAUUUAGGUUUUGGCAAUAAAGCAUGCACGAGUGAUCCACUUCCAUUGAGGUUAAAUCCAUUAACUGAAAAUGCCUUUAACUACAAGUCCCAGGUUUCUUUCCUGACUCAAUUUGUCCUCAUUUGUAACAGAGCAAUAGAAUGAGGACAAAGAAGUUACUAUAACGUUUAAAAGAAGCACAGAUAUAAAAUGCAAUAGAACAAAAAUUGCCCCAAGGCUCAAUAACAGAAUGGUGCAUGAUAACAUCCAUACCAACUUUACCCAUGGCUGCUUCACCUAGUUUUGAGCAUUACAGCUUGAAUUUAAAGGAAACAAAGAGAAGAGUGUAAACAUAUGCAAGUAUCAAAAGGGAACUUAUCUACGACGAACUUAGAAAAAAAAGGUUUCUGGAGUGGUAAAAGUAUCUAAAAAAAGAUUCAAAGGAAACAUGUUGGGAAAACUGAAACAACUUGUACUUGACUGGAAUACUUGAUAAGGAACUAGAAAAGUAAUUUACGAAUGUAGCACAAAUACUGCCACGAGAAAAUGAGGCUUACGAUAUAAACAAAGUAACUGACCUAAAAUGGGGCCACGCAUUAAAGUGGGAUCAUUUCAGCUGAUACCAGUUCCAGGCUCCCCAAAAUGAGAGCCUUUUUGGUGUCCUGCUUUAAGACAACAUGAGUUUUAAAUAAGUUUGUGAACGUUUUAAUAUAAUUAAACGUGCCCAAGUUUGCAAAGGCAAACUGAAAGGAAAUGACUUUGUAUAAAUUCUGCCGAUCUUCAAGUGCAUAACUGAAAGAAUUCAAAUUUUAAGGACACUGUAACAACUAACAAGUAACAACCUCGACUCAGAAAAUUAAAACCCAAAAACAAAAAUAGAAUAACCAACAAGCAUUCAACUUGUCAAGUCAAAGUUCUCUAAGAUAAAUCAUGGCAGAUAAAAACUAUAAAAAAACCAAGCAACCUUCAUGUUAGUUUGCCAAGAUCUAUUGAUGAGCAUGAAAAAUGCUCUGUAGAAAAGAGUAAAACCAGAAAACUAGAAGAAGAGAAAAACUGAUCAGGAAAUUGGAAGAAGAAAAACUAACUUCUCAUCGAGUCAAGAGUCUGUUACACCUAUUUAUACACAAGUCAUGCUGACAUCAAAGAAAGCCAAUCCUAAUUACAAAAUAAUUAAAUAUAUAAUCAGAUAUCUAUUUACACUUGGACACGUGUAUGUAUUUAACACUUCAUAUGAAAAUCAAGAUAAAUAAUGAAUUUAACAUAACCCGUUUGCUUAUUCCUAAUCAGCUUAGCUGAAGCCACCUAAACUAUCCCAAAAAAAUUAAACUUCCUUUAAUUACUUUUUACUGAUUUUAUUACUUAAGUAGUUAAGUUUAAAAGGAAAAGAAAGGAAAUUCAUUUAAAUAACAAAAGGGAAUAAUAUUUUGAUUUAUUAAAAUGUAUAUAAAACUGUGAAUUUUAUUGGACUAUAUUUGCUCCGUUUAAUUAAAUUUUAUUAUAUUUUUUUACUAUUUUACUAUUUACUUAGGCACUCUUAAAUCUUUUUUUUUUCUAAAAGCCCCUAAUUUUUUUUUCUAAAAUAAUAUAAUUAACUAAUUAAUUACCUCUCCAGUGUGAGCGAAGAUGUUGAUGAGGUAAUUCUCAUCCAUCCACUGCUAAAGAUCACCGAUCUAGAAGGAUCGAAUCUCACUGGAGCCGCAACGGCUGAAUCGGUGGAGUACUGCUGCAUCUGACCUAGCGGAGGAACGGGUUGUGGAGCCCAGUCGGAAGGUGGAGGAACCGGCUGACCCGCCUGUUGCUGCUGUUGUUGUUGUUGCAUCAUCAUCCACGGCUGCUAUUGCGGUUGCUGCUGGUACUGCUGGGUUUGAGACUGAUCAGCUGCCAUGGACUGCGGUGGAGCUACACCUCCUGCUGGGGGUUGUUGCAUCAUACUCGAUAGAUAGAUAGAUAGGGAAGAGAAUCGGGAGAUCUCAGAGAGGAGAGGAAACCCAAGUGGGGAAUUGAAAUUUUAUAAAGAGAGGAUUUUGUUUUAUUGACCAGAGGAUGCUUGUCGGGGUAACACGUGGAGAAUAGGAAUUACGUGGCAGUAAUGGGCUUUUGAUAGGGUAAAUCGAGUAUUCGGCUUGGUAUGGGCUAGAUUGGGCUGAGUUUGGGCUAAAAUUCUUUUUCUUUGUUAAUAAAAAACGUUUCUUAAGGAUGUAAUAAAAAAAGUUUUAAAAAAGAAUUUUUAUAGACAAUUGAAAUUUGGUGUUAAUAAGCAUAGCAAAAUUUUUUGAAAAUUAAGUAAUUAAAUGGAAUUGAAAUUUGAAAAUUAUUAAUAUAUUUUUAUGGUAUAAAAAUUAAUUAUUAUUUUAUUUUAUUCCCUUUAUAAAUUUUAUGACUUAUAAUUAUGAUGAUUUAGUAGAUGUCUGAUAAAUUAUUUCUUAAUCUAUUAAAUAGGAAAAUUUUUUUAUCAUUUCCCUUCGUCUCAUUAUCUUUGUUCUUUAUUGAUUUUUUUGUUAAAUAAACUCUGACUUUGAUCAUUAUUUUUAAAAACAUUGUAAAGUUAUAAAAUUUUGAAUUUUAAACAUUUAAAAUUUUUUUUUGAAUUUUUAAUUUUAUAUAGUAGUCGUUUAAUAUGGUAAGAAAAGUACAACAUGGUAAGAAAAGAAAUUAAAUUGAACUUAAUAAUUCUAAGUGCAUGCAGAAAUGGUCCAAUCCCUUUUUAUAAUUUUUAUUGUAAGCAUUACUUGGUAAAAUUUUCUUCUAUCAAUGAGUAAUUACUUCAUUUUAAAUGCUUUUUGCGAACUUGUUGCCUGGACUUUACUACCAUGGCCAGAUCUUAUAGGUUGGAGUACUAAUCAAACUCUCAAUAUUUCAAUAAAUCACUUAAAACCUUCAUAAAAUAAAAAUCUACUUGGCUUGUAUAGGGAAAUUAAAGUUUAAUUUCUGACGCAGGAGCGUCAAUGAUUGUAUUUUAUUAAAUUUAGUUUUUGCUAAUUUAGUUGAUUUAUGAUUUAUUUUCUUUAUUUUAUUUAAAUUAGGAUUCUUUUCUUAUUUUUAUUUUAAUACUUUUAAGAAUUAGUAUUUGAUUAGGAUAGUUAUGUUCUAUUUAGGAAUAGAACACCUAUUUUAUUUAAAUCUCUUAUUAAUUAUUCUAAUUGUAUUAGAUAACUAGGAGUAGAGUUUUAUUAGGAUUUGGGCCUAUAAUACUAUAAAUAGGACCCUUAGGCUUAGUUACGAGACAUUCAGAAUUGAGAGUUAAUAAAUAAUAUUUUCUUAAGCAGGAGUGCUUAUUUCUCUAGACUCUUUUAAAGGGUAAGAGGUUUUAAUAUCUUUGGCCUAGCCAACCAAAGUGGGAUUUUGGCUAUUUUUCACCUUAGUGGGGUUUUCAACCUUGCCAAGAUUGGUGAUUCACCUUAGUGGGGUUUUCAACCUCGCCACGAUUGGUGUUUUUCAUAACGCCUAGGUGUCUUUACAACGCCCCGGCGUCAAUUUCCCAUGUCUUGAUUUAAAAUAUAGAAAUAAGGAUAAGAAAUAGAAGAAUUUUAAGCUUAUUCUUCUACUAAUUGUGGAUGCAGUGAGAAACAUAACAUUGAUUAGGUAAAUUACUGAAAGCAAGUGAUCCCUUUGCUUGACAACUCUGUGAAGCCAACAUCUUGAUCAACCCAAAGCACAAUAAUUUCAACUACCUGUUUUUUUUUUUUUUUUGUUUAUGUAAAUAAUAAAGAUUAGCACAAGUAAACUACUAAAACUUGAUUAGGACUAGGCAAACAAGUGAGAGAAAUGAAAAUGGAAAGUAGCCUUUGAUCUACCUGUGUUUAGUUAAUGGCUCCAACAUACUCAUUGAUGUUUAAACAUGCCUUUGCAACUUCCCCUGCAAUCAUCUCAUAGUUCUUCCUUGUAAGGUGGUAGCUCACAAAGGCUCUUGCUCCGUCGAAUGGUCUUGGCGUCUUGCUUAACUGGUUGCGGUGUCUUUUUUAAACAAUUGAAACAAGGGAAUGUAAAACAAAAGUAUUAAUGUUACAUGUUAUGAGGGUAAAAGAAAAAAUAGACAUAUUAUAAUUUAUAAGCAUUUUAGGCCACAAAUUCAUUAAAAGUAAUGGAAUCAUUCACUAAAAGUGAUAUUCUAGAUCAAUCUUUUGGUUGCAGUGUACUACUCAAUCAUUUAAGUAAUUUUAGUAAAGACUUUGAAAAAUUAUGUAGUAUAAUAUUAUUAAAGACUAUAAUUGCCUUUGCACAUACUAAAUAAAAUCUUAAACUUAAUUCACAAAUCAACAAUAAAAACUCUUAAUCAUCAAUAACGAUUAUGUUGGGAGGAUAAGGAGAAUGAAUAAGGUAUUUUUAGUUUUUGUGAAUAAUAUUCUUGCAAAAGUCCAUGAAGAUGGCUUCAAAGGAUUUGGGAUCAAUUUGGAAAGGUUGUCAAUACAUUGUAGGGAGAAAUAAAAGCAAAUACAGCUAGAGGUAUCCUUUUAUCAUAUUUGGAUAUUUUAAUAAGGAUAGAAGAGCAGUCCAAAAUUUAAAUGGAGUCUGGCUUCUUAACCAAAGGCUAGAGGUCAAUAUAGCCAGCUAAGGAAGCCAUGAUUCAUUUUGAAGAAGGAAGCAAAAAGGAAGCUUCUGAUGCACCUAGUGUUAACCACAUUAGGAACGGAACCUGCAGUGGGAUUUUGAGACAACUUGGUUUUAUUCAUUAAGCCAUCUUAUGCUCUGUUAUUGAAAGGUGCUUUUGAAAGAGGUGGAGCUUCAAAUGAAGAGAGAGGAGAUGAUUUUCAAUGUCUGAAAAGCAUGGAAAACAUGCUUUGGUUGAAGAUAAGUGCUGUGGUAACAACGUAAUGUAAUUCAGAUCUAGCAAAUUUAAUGGAAUUAUUUAAAAUAGAGGGCAUUUCAGGGCUGCUUAUGAGGAGUUUGUCUCUCAAAGAAUUUCUGCUAACCUUUGAGGAUAAGGAGCUGUUGGAAGAGCUCAAGGAUAAAGGUUGGGAUUGGCUUAACAAAUGGUUUGCUAAGGUGGAAACAUAGUUAGAGAAUUUUUCAUCAAAACUCCUUAACAAGUGGGUGACUGCACAGGAUAUCCUUUUGAUGUGUGAAAUAGGCAUAUUAUAAAUUAUAAGCAUUUUAGGCCAAAUUCAUUAAAAGUGAUAUUCUAGACUAAGUUUUGGUUGUAGUGUCAUUCUCAAUCAUUUAAGUAAUUUAAAGACUUUGAAGAUCAUGCCUUAAAAUAGACAAGACUAAAGUUUUCAGGGUGUAUACCUCUGUUUUGGCGUGCACAUAUUCCUUUGUAUCUAUGAAGAAACCUGUAGUCAUCUUGGGACAUCCUUCUACUCUCAAAUCAUCCAAAGCUGAUAAUACAAAGUGAUAUCCCCUUGGGCAGAAGUCAACGAGGCUUGGCAGUUCUUCAAGUGAUAAACUGUAUAGUUGAUCAAACUUUAUCUCCUUUUCAGUUGUUGCUUCUGCUUCAUCUUCAAGUUCAAAUACUUGCUCCAAUUUAGAGUUCCCUUUAACCCAUAACGUAACAAGAUUUGGAAGACAACGAGCAGAUCCAAGAGGAAAGAGUCGUUUCAACUUUUUGCAAUAUAGAACAAAAAUUUUGGUCAAAUUAGGAAAGCUUAUAGGUUGGAGAUCACCAUCUGAUGAUGAACAAACUUGAUCCUCAGCAAUGAUUUGGUCCAAUUCAUCACAAUUUUGUAUUUCUAGAUUGACCAACCGUGAUAAACUUUGAGCAGUUGUAGGUGAAAAUAUGUAUCUUAGCCUCUUACAAUCAAUCACCUUCAAAAUUGUAAGGUUCUCAAGAGUUACAACCUGAGCGACAUCCUUCCAUAUAAUCCACUUUUCAGAUAAAUCCUCCAGGAGGAGUUUCUUUAUACGCCCAUGAACUUGGAAUACUUCUUCAUGACUCCCAACUGCUAUAUAUUCUUGAUUGCAGUUGGCUGAAAUACGCAAUUGAAAGCUAUUCACCAACAUAGAGAGAUAUAAUUCCUGCAAAUACAGACACCACUAAAUGUCACUGAAUAAGUUCCUUUUCUAUUAGAUUGGGAAUAGAUGAGCAAAUAUUACUCAUAAUUUUUUAGAUGCCGAUUCACAAAAAAUCCCUACAUUUUUAAUGAUAGGACAUUUAUAUGUUUCAAAAUUUAAAUCCAAAAUUUUCAUGAAAUGCUCUGAAAGUGGAAUCCAAAAACAUCUACCCUCUUUCAAGUUUUCUCUGUUAAUUUUUAAAAUAAAACCAUUUAUGGUUUUCCUUGUCUUGUGUUUUUUUCUUUGUCAUUUUUUCUUUAAGCAUGUUGUUUUGAAAAGUAUAGAUAAAGUGGUAAAGUGUUAAUUUUUUUUAAUUUACCUAAAUUACAUAAAAAAAACAUAAAAGAAACGAACCCCCCGGAAAGCCUAACUUUCUCAAUCUGUUUCUCUUGUCUGCAACAGAAAGUAGAAACACUUUGAAUAAAAAAAAAGGGAACUCAUGGCCAAGAAGAAAAAGAAAACUUAAAUUGAAGAAGAAAGAGAAAAUUCGAAUCAAAGAAAGCAAGAGAAACUAGAAUCGAAGAAGAAAAAGGAAGCUUGAACAAGAAAAAAAGCAAGAUUUGUCGUCGUGAAGAAAAAAUAUGAUGAACCUCAAUUCAGAAACAAGGACAAGGAAACCCCAAAGAUCCCCACAAACAAAUUAAAAUUUGUUUUUCAAAAUAAAUAGUAUAAAAUUUUUGUGCUGCAAUUUUAAAAUAUAAUUGGAUUAGUUUGUGAGUGUUGAAAAAAAGAUUUAGCUCAAAGGCAAAAUCCAAAACCAUAAUUGAAGGAAAAGUGUAUAAAGAAAUACCUCUAGCUGAAUUUGCUCAUUAACUUCUUUUUGAAUAGUGAAAUUUCUCAAUUUAGGACAGUUGCAAACUUUCAACUUCUCCAAGGAUGGUGAUGAGAUGAGAAAGUUUUCCGAACUCAAAUUUAUCAAGUUUACAAGUUGAAAAUCUUGUAGGCAAGGGAGUCCAAUGGCACGAUGAGUUGGCCUUUUCCAUAUGCUCUUCAAUGUUGGUAAUGACUGUAGCUCCAACCUUCUUAAAUUUGAGAGUGGUACUGCCUGAUUUACCUCACAUAAAAAAAAUAUAAAAUUUAUUAAUUAAUAAAUAAUGAAAAUGAAUUGUUUAUACUUGAUCUUAAUUACUGAGAAGAAAUACAUUUUGUUAAAAAAAAGUAGAAAGAAGUAUUAAAAGUUAAUAAUUUAGAAAGAUUAGAUAGUAAUUAUUUAUAUAUUUGAUAAUUCAAAAAAAAUCAUUAGAAAAACAAUAUACGAGACCAUUAUUAAAGGAAAAAUGAAGAGAUAAGAGGUACCUCUAGCUCAGCCAUCUCUUUGUCAAAAGCAAAGACUUGCUUUAAUUUUUUGCAUUAAGAUAUCUCAAGUGUUUCUAGAUGCAACAGACUUUGAACAAGGUAAGGUGAGAAGAUAGAUUUUAGUUUAUCACAACCAUCAAUUGUUACUUCCUUCAGACUUUGUAGCCUUACAUGAUGAGUUGGCCCUUUCCAUAUGCUCUCCAAUGCUGGUAAUGACUGCAAUUCCAACCUUCUUAAAUUUGAGAGUGGUACUGCCUGUUUUACCUCAUAUAAAGAAAAAUAUAAAAUUUAUUAAUUAAUAAAUAAUGAAAAUGAGUUCUUUAUACUUGAUCUUAAUUACUGAGAAGAAAUACAUUUUGUUAAAAAAAAGUAUUAAAAGUUAAUAAUUUAGAAAGAUUAGAUAGUAAUUAUUUAUAUAUUUGAUAAUUCAAAAAAAUCAUUAGAAAAACAAUAUACGAGAGCAUUAUUAAAAGAAAAAUGGAGAGAUAAGAGGUACCUCUAGCUCAGCCAUUUCUUUGUCAAAAGCAAAGACUUGCUCUAAUUUUUCGCAUUUAGAUAUCUCAAGUGUUUCUAGAUGCAACAGACUUUGAACAAGGUAAGGUGAGAAGAUAGAUUUCAGUUUAUCACAACCAUCAAUUGUUACUUCCUUCAGACUUUGUAGCCUUACAUGAUGAGUUGGCCCUUUCCAUAUGCUCUCCAAUGCUGGUAAUGACUGUAGUUUCAACCUUCUUAAAUUUGAGAGUGGUACUACCUGUUUUACCUCAUAUAAAGAAAAAUAUAAAAUUUAUUAAUUAAUAAAUAAUGAAAAUGAGUUCUUUAUACUUGAUCUUAAUUACUGAGUAGAAAUGCAUUUUGUUAAAAAAAAGUAAAAAGAAGUAUUAAAAGUUAAUAAUUUAGAAAGAUUAGAUAUUAAUUAUUUAUAUAUUUGAUAAUUCAAAAAAAUCAUUAGAAAAACAAUAUACGAGAGCAUUAUUAAAAGAAAAAUGGAGAGAUAAGAGGUACCUCUGGGUCAGCCAUUUCUUUGUCAAAAGCAAAGACUUGCUCUAAUUUUUCGCAUUUAGAUAUCUCGAGUGUUUCUAGAUGCAACAGACUUUGAACAAGGUAAGGUGAGAAGACAGAUUUUAGUUUAUCACAACUAUCAAUUGUUACUUCCUUCAGACUUUGUAACCUUAUAUGAUGAGUUGGCUCUUUCCAUAUAUUCUCUAAUGCUGGCAACGACAUCAACUUCAAACUUCUUAAAUUGGAGAUUGUGCGCGUCAGACUUUCUUCCUUUCCAAAAAGCCAAUUCAUUUGAAACACUGAUUGCAACUGCUUACAAUCGACAAUGCUCAAUGUUUCUAACUUUUCUAAGAAGCUAGUCGGUGAUUGACCAUGGCACAACUCUUUCAAAGAAGUCAUGAAUCUAAUGUGUAAGUUCACCAAAUUAGAGAAUGCAGUGGUUGGACUUUGUUCUCGUGUUGUAUCGAUCAAGCAUUCCAGAUGAGUGCAAAAUGAAAGCUCAAGAGAAGUUAAUUCCUUUAGUCCACGCUGAUCUACAUUUGGGACAAUAUUUUUGUAUUCCAUUGGGACUUGGGACAGAGUAAGAUCUUCAACAUUGCAAAACAGCUCCUUAAAUGCAUUUAAUGAGGAUGAGAAAUGCUUAAUUCUCAAGGUUCUCAAGCGCAGCCCCGCCAAAUCUUGAAUAUAGUCAUUUACAGCUAUAUUGUAGCUUUGUAGUUUAGGGAACACAAAGUUUUCCUGAGAACAUUGAUGAGUAGAAACUUUAAGUGUUAAUGCAGUCAAACCAAACAAAGAAUUCAGCUCCAAUAAGUUAGCAUUGUUUCUACUUGUCACGUGUAGCUCUUGGAGUGAGGCCAACCUGUUACAAAAAAAUACAAAAUGUUAUUAAUGCAAUAAUAGCACUUUCAACCGAAUGAUAAAAAUAGCAAGGUAAUGAAAUGAAUAAGAUAACAUUAACUUUUUUAUUUCUUCAUUCUUAAAGCUACUUUUGUACUACAGGUUGCAAUGUUUCAUAAUAAUAGGAGUGACUAAAAGCUCAUGCUAGAUAUAUAUAUAUGUUUGUGAUAGUCAAAAUCAAAUAAAGUAAAUAAUAAAAAAUAAAUAAUUUAAAAAUUAAAUACUUAAUUGAAAACAAUAAACUAAACAAUUUUACCUUGAUAGCAAGUUAAGGGGGAAAUAGCUUAACGACACUCCACUGUAAGAAAUAUAUAGUGAUUUUAGUUUAUGCAAUCCCACUAUUUCUUUUGGUGGCCCAUAAAUAUUAGUCUUUAGCAAUGCCAAAAUCUCAAGGUUUUCCACAUUCUUCAAUGAUGAGAUGUUCUCAAGCUCGCAAUUUAUAAUGCACAGAGUUCGAAGAUUUGUCAAGAAUUUAAGUGCUUCCAGUGUGAGUACAACAUCUUGGAGAAGUAAAACUCGGAGGGUUGUCAUUCUUUCAAAAAAGGCACACGAAACUCUCAAUGAAUUCUUUCCUUUGAAAAACAAAGUCUUGAGUUUUGAAAAUUCCACUUUGUUAGGAAGAUGAUUGAUCUCAAUGUUCCACAAGGAGAUUGCCGUAUAACAUCCAAACCUUUCACUCAUAUGCCAUUCCGUCAACCCAUCUUUUACCAUGAAUAUAUUUUCCCCUCUCGAUGUUAUCCAAUGAGCAAAAUCACGAAUCACAUCAUGCAUUUUUACAUGGUCUUUAUCAUUAGCUUCCAAUAAUAAACCAGACUUUUGGAGUUUUGAUAGUGCCAGAUGAAUUUCCCUCCUUAAGUCUUCCAUUAAGUAAAUAUUAUUGAACAAUCCCUGACCAAUUCCGCAUAUAAUCAACAAUUCAAUACUAAUCUCAUAAUCUUCUGGAAAAAGGGAACACAACAAGAAACAUUGCUUGAUAUUAUCUUGAUCCAAAUAAUCAUAACUAAGCUUAAGACAUCUAUAGAUAUGUCCACAAACAUGUUCAUUAUCCAAAUGUCUUGAGCUCUUGAGUCUUUUAUUUGCUGCUAUCCACGCAUCUAGACUUUCGCCUUUUAGAGCCUUUGCCACAGUUACAAUUGCAAGAGGCAAACAGCCACAUUCACGAGCAACCUCCUUCGCUACAU